RNAcentral lists this long non-coding RNA (88392 nucleotides) under Triticum aestivum (bread wheat). RNAcentral describes it as "long non-coding RNA (TAES_LNC023426)". The stretch from base 87381 to 87467 matches the Rfam family "MIR1120/MIR1122 microRNA precursor family". Lineage: Eukaryota; Viridiplantae; Streptophyta; Magnoliopsida; Poales; Poaceae. The record is from RNAcentral.
GGUCACGGCUGGGCUCGCGUCGCGGGGAAGACGGCCGGUAACUACAUAGAGGGUGAGCCCUUGAUGAAUAAUCUCGAGAAGUACUAUGUGAGAAAAGAAAUGGAUGAAUGAACUUCCCAUUUGUCUUAUCGUGUAUUUACAUCAUUUUGUUGUCCUCGUUUUGUUGUCAAUAAGAAAUGGGACAGAGAACUUGGGUCUAGCCGGUGGUAAAGACCUCCUGAAGGGUUGUCUGGAUUUCGUCAAUAUUAGAGCUCUACAAUCUAGUCUUUUCAUAUAUGCUUCACCAACCUACUAGUGCUACAUCAGAAUUUUUACAUAAAGUUCGUGACAUGAGCACAAGGGUUUAUGCACUAAGCCUUUAUGUCUUGUAUCCGAAAGACAUGAAAAGAGAAUGUUUUUAUGUCAGUAGAAGAAUCCAAAGCUUAUGGACUUGUCGAUAUUGCAGGGGGUGAAAUGAUUGACGGCAUUGCAUGAGUAUGUGUUGUCUGUGAUGGUGCGGUGCCUCCACGCCUGAGUGUGAUGUGCGUGUAUCUACGUUAAUCGGUGUGUUUGAAGACAAUGUCGCGCAGCCGUGAGGAAUCUAGUUCCAAGACAAAAAGGCACUGUGCGCGUCUGUCGACGUGGUGCAUUAUGUAGCGUAGCCCGACCGCCAUGGUAGGCACGUACGUGUCCAUCUCGUGUGCUCAGGUGUGACGCGCGCACAAAUGGCCCCGAUGGAUCAGUCAGACAUGACAGCGCUAGCUACUAUCCGACAAGAAAAACGAGAAAAUGCAUUGCAUGCAUGCUUGGGCCAUGGGACAUGGCUAGCUGAUCAGCCCCUCCACUUGCAUGCUGGAGCUACCCACGGCCAGGACAGGGGACAUUAUGACCCAUGCCCAUCAGUUCCACUUACAGUGGUCACCACUUAGAACGCUUUUGUUAUCUGCAUCGUUUUUUGCCACAUUGCAUACUUGUCCUAAUUAAGUCUAGCUGAGCAUAUACAGGCUAAAAACCAACAUCUGUAUUUAGUUUAGUUACCUGCAUUCAAAACCAACAUCUGUAUUUAGUUUGGUUACCUGCAUCCUCUCUAGCCUGUAUGUGUCCAAAUCCAAGGCCUCCUGUUUGGUUGCCGACUUGUUUGAGAGGAAUCACAAGUUCGAUUGUUUGGUUACAUCCAGGACAGUUAGGUGGUAACCACCUCCAUUGUUUGGUUACAUCCAGGACAGUUGGGUGGUAACCACCUUCACGAUGUGGUGAGGUUAUCAAAAGCACAAAUGAACUACUAAGAACUAAACUACGAGCAAUAAAACAAUUUUAGGCACAAACACAAGUCUUAACCACGCAUCACAAGUUCUAAACGAACAUAUACUCUAAGUCUUAAACAAAACACAAGUCUUAAACCAAGGACCAACAAGGAACGGACAAUAGGAGAUUUGGCGGUCACGGUGAAUGUGUUGUCAUGAUCUGGUGAACGGCGGUGAAGGUGGCCCAACCCUAAUCAAGGGUGACCCUACAGUUGAUCACCCUCACCAUCAUCCUCCAUGCGCAGCCGGUGUUCGUCCUGAACUUGAACUCUGUAGGGAUGGCGAGGAAGUGGUUCGUGAAGUCCAGAGGCAAUGGCAGACUCCAUCUUUGGAGCAAGGAUAAUCUUGCAGAAGUGGUUUGAUCCUGACUCUUGAUGGUAGUGGUCAUAGUUCCUCCGCUUGGCGCUUGGGUGAUCCUGCGUCGGCACUUCCACCAAUGGCGGCACGACCUCCUUGCCCUUAUCCAUCUGCAUUAUGAGCAACACGCAGUUCAAUGGUUAGCAUUCAUUCAUAUUGACCAAACGCUCAUAUAUUAACCCACCCUACUAACCCAGCAGCGCACUCAAACCCCCUCUAUUUCACCACCUCUCUUCUUCCACCCAACUCUCUGUUUCAUCACCUCUCCCUCGCCAUGAACUCCAACUCCAACCCCAACCUUUUCUCAUGGGGCAUUGGAUGGAGGGCCUUCUUUCUUAAGUGCUCGCUCGGUGAACGCAAGAAGUUUGAGCACACCAUGGAAGUGUGCUCGAACUUUAGCAGCAUUGAUGACAUGCACAAGGAGGCUGAUGAUGUGAUGAAGAAGGCUAUGUCAGACGAGCUGAAGACACUGAUUCUGGACCCAGCCAAGGGCGCAAUGUCAGUGGACGUCCUGUGUUGGGCCAUGAAUCAGGCAGACUCCGGUGACGCAAGACAGUGGGCAAGAUGGGCCAAGUACAGGCAGUACAAGGCGCCUCAAGACCUGCGUGCCGCGACGUACUGGAGUAGUAUGUUCGGGUCGCCGGAGCCCGACAACGACGAGGUGCAGAUGGUGGCCAGGGUGCUGGCGGCAGGCGACCGUGGAAGACCCUUCGUUCUUGAUGAAGACGGUGAGGACGAAGAUGAUGAGGAAGAAAAGAAGAUGGCUACCCCCCGCCCACCGCUCGACGCGACUCUAGGGUCAUCGCAGCUAGACUAGAAAUUUGUAUCACAAUCCCCACCCCCGAUGUAAUCGAAAAAUAACAUAUGAACCCUAGUAGCCGUCGAUGCANNNNNNNNNNNNNNNNNNNNNNNNNNNNNNNNNNNNNNNNNNNNNNNNNNNNNNNNNNNNNNNNNNNNNNNNNNNNNNNNNNNNNNNNNNNNNNNNNNNNNNNNNNNNNNNNNNNNNNNNNNNNNNNNNNNNNNNNNNNNNNNNNNNNNNNNNNNNNNNNNNNNNNNNNNNNNNNNNNNNNNNNNNNNNNNNNNNNNNNNNNNNNNNNNNNNNNNNNNNNNNNNNNNNNNNNNNNNNNNNNNCCCAUGGGUCCGUAGUUAGUAGCUAGACGGCUUCCUCACUCUCGUUUGAUUCUCAAUACAAUGGUCUCUUGGAGAUCGAUAUGAUGUAACUCUUUUUGCGGUGUGUUUGUUGGGAUCUGUUGGGGAUAUAGCUACUAGGUAUGACCCGCUCAGGAGGGGCCGGGUUAUACUUAUGGCGAUUCAUCAUGUGAAGCCCAAGGCGAUACUUGAAGAUGGCGGUUCAGUUAAGGGACCAAGGCCCAAAGGCGGCUUAAGGCCCAUAGAGAUAAACCGCCAUAUAUGUAUGACUUGUAUUGUAAGGCAGGAAUAGAUAGAGACCGAGCCGGACACUGUUUAUGAGUCGGCCGGGACUCUGUGAGCCGCUGGGCAUUGUCCUCUGUAUAUAAAGGGAUGACCCGGCAGUAGUUCAGGCCAAGUAACAUCAGAUCGAAAGCUAGGUCAAGCGGAUUCGCUCCCUAGUAAUCGAGACAUAAGCAAUCCCACCUCAAACUGGACUAAGCCAUUACCUUCACCGCAAGGGGCCAAACCAGUAUAAACUCCCGUGUCCUUUGUCCCGUUUUAACCCCUUUAAGCUUCCUAGUUGCGAUGGCUCCACGACUAAGUCCUUUUGCUAGGACAUCUUCCGUGACCUUUCCAUGACAGUUGGCGCCCAUCGUGGGGGCAGCGCACGGUGGAUUUGAGUUCUUGAAGGGCAAUUUCGAAGGGCUCAAGGGAUACACAGUGGGCCGGAUGACCAAGAGUCGUCGCGGCAAGCUCUACAUCGACGGCGCAGGCUGGGGUCCUGCGGCCGGCUCAAUUGAGUACGGGUACCGGGUCCCCUUCGGCGGAAUCCACGUCUUCAUCGGCAAGAUCGGCGAGCCAGGCCCUGAGCCAGAGAUCUGCACCGACAUCGUCGAGACGGCUCAGCGUGCGAGGCCCGCCUGAGCUCAAAGCGUGUCUUCGUGGGAUGCAUCCAUGGAGCGAAAUUUGAUGAAGGAUCCAUGUCUGGCGGUGAAACGGUCAUCUACUCUGAUGGUGAAUCGUCCACGGGUGAGACGAAUUCGUUGUAUCAAUUGCAAGAUGGCGGGCUUGGGGGCUGUUCUGAUGGCAACAGUAUUCCGGACCCCUUUGAGCCUCCAAACAGAGUCGGGAUCUUCAUGACUGGCAUGCAACCCGGGCAAAACUCUACGGCUGUGGCAGCAAUGACUUUCGGGUCAGCAGCGGUAACGGCAGUCGGGGCAGGAGACCUUGCGCGCCCGCCAGCUCAGGUUGUGAUGACUUUAAUGGAUAAGAUGACAGCUCUGUUAACCGUCGUGGUCAAUCCGGCGAAUCAAGCUCAACAUGAUGCAGAAGUAGCACAGUUACGUGAGGAGGUAGCACAAGCCAAGGAGAACCUGGCGGCAGAGGACGUCAGGAUGGCCGUAGAGCGGGCAACUUUAGAUGCCCGGGCCCAGGAGAUUCAAUCAGAGGCUUUUUAGCUUACAAUGGAUCAGAACGCAUCAAAUGAGAUCAUGAGGAGAAAGCACCAGAAGGCUCAGUCCCGUCUGCCUACGGGUUAUGAGCCUAGAAACCUCUUCCGCACGCCUAGUGCAGGGACCAGUAACCCGCCAGAGGUAAACCGGGCUGCAGCGCCCGGAGCUGGGACGCCGGUUCAGCCGCGUGUGAUGGAACCCCCUCGUCUGAAUGCUGCUCCACCUCACAAUGUACCGACACCACCGGGUCAUUAUUCUCACCCUUUGGAGAACAUGAUCACUGCAGCGACACGAUUGGCGGCUCUCCCGGUGGAUGGCGACUCUCUAACGGCGGUUGAAACACGAAGGGUCAGAGAACUUCUUCAGAUAGCUCUGGCACAAAAGGAGGCGUAUUCUUAUAGUCGAGACAAGAUUCAUUCAACCCCUCGCCCAAGCCGAAGCCGGAGGUAUAGCAGGCACAUGGACUCACCAGCCGCGUCAAGCAAUGCCCAGCGCCGCGAUCAGCCGCGCGGGUAUGACCCGGCACGUGAUGGAAUUCCUAAUGUGGUUGAUCAAGACAGAUUGCGUUAGGAAGCCGAGCGUGCGGCUCAGCAAGCGGCUUAUCAGCCCCUUCCGGUUUAUCCGACGACUUCAAUUGAGGUAGGCGUGACCUCUAAGACUGCGGGCGUACCUUGUUUGGUACCGGCUCUGCAUAAUGAGCGUUUGCCCAAGGAUUUCUAGGGACCUCGAAAGGUGCCUAAUUACACGGCCGACUUACCCCCUCGGGCGUGGAUUGAAAGCUACGAGAUGGCCAUGGAGUUACUGGAAGUUAGUGACGCUGCAAUGGCCAAGUACUUCACCAUGAUGCUGGAUGGAAUGGCCCGUACUUGGUUGAAGGGGCCGCCAGCUAAUUCCAUCGGUUCAUGGGCAGAGUUAAAGGCCCGGCUUAUUCAGAACUUUAAAGACACAUGCAAGCAGCCCAUGUCGAUUGUGGACUUGACUGAUUGCAAGCAAGAGGAGGGUGAAUCCACGACCCAUUGGGUGCGUCAGGUCAAGUCUAUAGUACAUUCAUCCGAUAAAAUGGACGCCGGCUUUGUAGUCUUAUUGUUGGAGAAAAAAAAUGCUGUUUUGAGCCUCUGAAAUAGAAGCUGGGGCGGCUCAAGCGCGAUUGUAGUGACAUGGGGCAGCUGAUGGCGGCUCUAGUCAAGUACGCCGACUCUGAUAGUACCGAGGAUCCCGAGUCUGACGAUGAGAAGACAAGGAAGGGAAAGAAGAACGGCAACGCUAAGGGCCCGCAGCAUAACCCGGCGAAUCAAGGGGCAAUAACAAACGUAAGUAUGAUGGUAGCUCGGAGUUUGUGGCUAACACCAAUGCGCAAGGCAACAAUCAACGACGUAAGGGGAGGCCGCCUCCUCGGUCCGGCGGGUCAGGUCCCACUCUUGAGCAGUAGCUAAAUGAGCCCCGUCCAAGGCAUGGCACUCAGGAGAAACCAGCCACUCACCUGUGGAAGGAUUGUACGAUUAUGAAGGCUUUCAAGAAUUCUAAUAUGUUUGACAACAAUCAUGGACCGGGCGGCGGCUCAGGCGGCGGCGGUUUUCAUGGCCCGGGUUAUGGAGGUGGCGGCUCUAAUUCCGGCUUUCAAGGCCACCAAAAUAAUCAGGGUCGAUAUAAUCAAGGCAACCAGGGUGGUUAUAACCAGCAAUCUGGCCAAGGGGCACUAGUAGAAAAAGGACCUAAUGUGAGACACAUUAGUCCCGGUUCGAUUUUAGCCCGGUACUAAUGGUAUCAUUAGUGCCGGUUCGAACGACUAUGCAUUAAUGCCGGUUCGUUAUGAACCUUUAGUACCGGUUUGUGCCACGAACCGGUACUAAAGGGGUGGUGGUAGGCUUUAGUACCGGUNNNNNNNNNNNNNNNNNNNNNNNNNNNNNNNNNNNNNNNNNNNNGAAAAAGGACCUAAUGUGAGACACAUUAGUCCCGGUUCGAUUUUAGCCCGGUACUAAUGGUAUCAUUAGUGCCGGUUCGAACGACUAUGCAUUAAUGCCGGUUCGUUAUGAACCUUUAGUAGUGGUUCGUGCCACGAACAGAGACUAAAGGGGUUUGACCUAUAGUCCCGGUUGGAGACACAAACCGGGACUAUAGGAAUAUUUUCAAACUCUACCCCCCCCCUAUGUAUCGUCAUUUCAGUUGUGAAAAAUACAAAAGAAAAUGAUAAAAAAAUUCAAAAAUAAAAUUCUUCGAGAAGUAGUUAUAUUACUACAUCUACUAGUUAGGAAAAUUAAAAAACUUAAAUUUGUACAUGUUUUGCAAAAAGUGUAGGGAAAAUGUAAAACGGCUAUAACUUUUGCAUACGAUGUCGGAAAAAACGUAUAAUAUAUCAAAACAUUCAGCAAAAAAAAUGUAAAACGGCUAUAACUUUUGCAAUUUUUUAGAAUCCUCAAAUUUCAAAAGGAAAAAAAGAUAUGCUCAAAUUUCAGUUUUUUUUUAAUUUUGGUUAAAUCCGGUCAAACUAUGCUCAAACUACUUAUUCAAGAAGUAUUAAUGUUGCAACAUAAUUAUUCAAGAAUAUUAGUGUUACUAAAUAAUUAUUUCAAUAUUUUGAAUUUUGGUCAAAUCUGGUCAAACUAUGGUCAAACUCAUUCAAGAAAUAUUAGUGUUACUAACUGUUUUUUAGAAUAAUAGUUCCAAACUCAAACGGUGAAACGUGUGACCUAAUGCUCAAGCUAAACUGCUGAGGGUUAAUAGGAUUGACAGCUUACAUUUGUCAGGAAAACAACAAGUGCAGACUUGGAAAAUAGGGGAAAUAGAACUCCGAAAUUAAGCGUGCUCAGGCUGGGGGAGUGGGAGGAUGGGUGACUGGCCGGGAAGUUAGACGAUUUGGAAUGAGUGAUCCACACUUGAGUAGUUAAGAGGGGUGAUUAGAGACUAAAUCAUCAAAUAAUUUAAAAAAUUGAAAAUGAAAAAAAAACAAUUUUUUUUACAAAAUUUUAAAAAAAAUUCAAAAAAAUAUUACCAACCGGUACUAAAGGUCCCCCAUACCACGGCGCGAGCUCAUGCCAUGUGGUGGGCCUUUAGUGGCAGUUCGUGCCGAACCGGUACUAAAGGGGGGGGGGGGCUUUAGUCUCCACCCUUUAGUGCCGGUUGCAGAACCGGCACUAAAGGCCCUUAAGAACCGGUUUUAAAGCUCCAUUUUCUACUAGUGAGGGUUAGCAGCAGCAGCAAUCUGGAUAUCAGAGUAAUCCAAAGCAGGUGAAUAGUGGGAAGUAUCAUGUGUUUACCACCAGUUUGUGCAACGAGACCAGAAACUUCAUAAGAGGGCGGUGAAUGCUGUUGAGCCGGCAGUUCCUCGUUACUUGUGGUGGCCUGAGCAGCCUAUUCUGUGGAGUAGAGAGGAUCACCCUCCCCGGAUUGACAAUCUGAGUCACUUGGCUUUGGUGGUGGCGCCUCAAGUUGGUGGAUAUAAAUUCACUAAGGUACUCAUGGAUGGAGCAGUAGCAUCAACAUCCUCUAUUAUGAGACUUUUCGUCGUAUGGGGUUAACUGAUAAAAAUCUGAAGACGUCCAACACUAUUUUCCACGGAGUGGUGCCUGGUAAGUCGGCGUACCCAGUGGGCAAGAUGAGCUGGAGGUGGACUUUGGAGAUGAGCAUGAUUCCAGGGCUGAGAAGUUAACUUUUGAGGUGGUCAAAAUCAAAAGCCCAUAUCACGCUCUGUUCGGCCGGCCGGCUUAUGCAAAGUUCAUGGCCCGUCCAUGUUAUGUUUAUCUAUAGCUCAAGAUGCCGGGUUAUAAGGGAACUAUCACAGUGCAUGGGAGCCGGAAGAUAGCCCUGGAAUGUGAGGAAGGCAAUGCUGCUUACGCUGAGUCUGUCUAUGCAAUAGAGGAGUUGAAGGUUUACAAGGACAAUGUUAACCCGACAGACAUGACAUCUUUGAAAAAACCAACUACAGAGCAUGAGCCGGUGAUGAAGUUUAAGUCGGCCGAUGACACCAAGCUGGUUGAUUUUUUUCCUGGCGACUCAUCUAAGCAGUUCAGUAUCAGUGCUAACCUGGAUUCCAAAUAGGAAAGCACGCUCAUCGAGUUCAUCCGUGAGAACCGGGACAUCUUUGCAUGGAAACCUUCUGACAUGCCGGGUGUACCAAGAGAACUAGCUGAGAACACUCUCAAUAUUGAUCCAAAAUUUAAGCCGGUCAAGCAGUUUCUUCGGCGGUUCAAUGAGGAGAGGCAUAAGGCCAUUGGUGAGGAAGUGGCCCGGCUUUUGGCGGCUGGGUUCAUUGUUGAAGUUUUUUAUCCAGAAUGGUUGGCUAACCCGGUGCUAGUGCUUAAGAAGAAUGGCACCUGGCGCAUGUGUGUGGAUUACACGGACUUAAACAAGGCUUGUCCGGCUGAUCCUUUUGCUCUCCCUCAUAUUGAUCUAAUCAUUGAUGCUAUGGCGGGUUGCGAGCGUUUGAGCUUUUUGGAUGCUUAUUCUGGUUAUCAUCAGAUCAAGAUGGCAGUUAAGGACUAGGAGAAGACGGCUUUCAUUACUCCCUUUGGAGCCUUUUGCUAUGUGUCUAUGCCUUUUGGGCUCAAGAGUGCCCAGGCGACUUAUCAGCGAUGUGUGCGGAAUUGUCUUCACAGUCAGAUUGGGCGCAAUGUUCAUGCUUAUGUGGACGACAUUGUGGUGAAGUCCAGACAGAAGGAGACCUUGAUAGAUGACUUGAAGGAAACCUUUGAUAAUCUCCGGGUCUACAAGAUGAUGCUUAACCCGGCCAAGUGCGUUUUUGGUGUGCCAGCAGGCAAGCUUUUGGGUUUUCUGGUUUCUAACAGAGGCGUUGAGGCUAACCCGGAGAAAAUCAAGGCCAUCACCUCCUUGGCUAAGCCGACAUGUAUCAAUGAUGUUCAGCGUCUGGCGGGUUGUAUUGCCGCCUUAAGCCGGUUCAUAAGCCGGUUGGGCGAGAAGGCUAUACCACUGUAUCAGAUGAUGAAGAAAACAGAGAACUUCGUCUGGAGUGAUGCUGCUAAUGACGCGUUUGAGGAUUUGAAGAGGCAGAUAGCCGAGCCGCCAUUCCUUGAUAAGGAGCCAUUGUUGUUAUACGUGGCUGCUAACACCCAUGCUAUCAGUGUGGCCACUGUGGUGGAGCGCAAGGAGGCUGGUAAAGAAUAUCCGGUUCAACGGCCGGUUUACUACAUCAGUGAGGUGCUUAUUGAGUCCAAGCAGAGAUAUCCACACUGGCAGAAGCUCGUUUAUGGGGUGUUCAUGGCCAGCCGGAAGCUUAAACAAUAUUUUCUGGGUCAUCCCAUCACUGUGGUCAGUUCUGCUCCUUUAGGAGAUAUCAUUCAAAACAAAGAAGCCACAGGACGAGUCGCCAAGUGGGCCAUUGAGCUUGGCCUCAUGGUUUGAAGUAUAUGCCUCGCACUGCUAUCAAGUCUCAGGCACUGGUGGAUUUCAUCAACGACUGGACAGAACUACAGAUGCCUGAAGAGAAGCCGGAUAACACAUAUUGGACUAUUCAUUUUGAUGGGUCCAGGCAAUUGGAAAGCUCAGGGGCUGGAGUUAUCUUAGCUUCCCCUCGAGGUGACAAAUUUUGUUAUGUGCUACAGUUGAUGUUUCCCUAUACUAACAAUGCAACUGAGUAUGAGGCCUUGCUUCAUGGUCUUCGGAUGGCUAAGGAGAUCAGCUUAAGCUGGGUAAGGUGCUUUGGCGACUCAGAUUUGGUGGCUCAACAAGUCUCAGGCAAAUGGGAUUCUAAGGAUCCCCUCAUGGCGGCUUUAUCGCCGUGAAGUUGAUGCUGUUGCUGGACACUUCAAGGGUUAUCAAGUGGAGCACGUUGAUCGCAGAAAGAAUGAGGCAGCCGAUGCUUUAAGCCGGUUGGGGUCUUAGCGUAAGCGCGUGCCAUCUAACACUUUCUUGGAUAUUCUGCAUAAUCCUUCUGUCAAGUUACCUACAGAGGAAGACUUGGCUGUUCCUGACCCGGAAGCACAAUUGGUGGUAGCUCUUCACAUCAUCCCAGAUUGGACAGUGCUAUACUUGGCUUCCAUGACACGGGGCGAGUUGCCUGAGGAUGAAACCUUGGCCAGCCAGAUAACCUGGCGGUCUAAGUAAAUGACAAUUGCCAAUGGCGAGUUACAUCAUCGCAGUGUCACUGGGGCAUUUCAUCGUUGUGUUUCUCCUGAGGAAGGUCAAGAGAUUCUUCGUGAAAUUCAUGAAGGGGAUUGUGGCCAUCAUGCCGGUUCAAAGUCCCUUGUAGCCAAAGCUUUUCGUCAUGGAUUCUAUUGGCUGACGGCUCACGCUGAUGCAGAGGAUUUGGUCAGUAAAUGUGAUGGUUGUUAUAAAUUCUCUCGAUGAGCUCAUGUGCCGGCUCAAGAAUUGAGGAUGAUUCCAAUUACUUGGCCGUUUGCAGUCUGGGGACUUGACAUGGUUGGGCCUUUCAAAAGGUCCAAAGAUAAAAAAGCCACCUCUUGGUGGUGAUUGACAAAUUCACAAAGUGGGUUGAAGCAGAGCCAGUCAGUAAGUGUGACGCGGCAAUGGUGGUUCAAUUCAUGAAAAAGGUGAUUUUCCGUUUUGGUUUUCCCCACAGUAUCAUAACUGAUAAUGGCACUAACUUGUCCAAAGGUGCUUUGAAAGAAUUUUGUCAACGUGAGCAUAUUCGUCUUGAUGUGUCGUCAGUAGCUCACCCUCAGUCUAAUGGGCAAGCUGAAAGAGCCAAUCAGGAAAUUUUGAGAGGCAUCAACCCCCAGCUUAUGGUUCCUUUACAACGGACGUCGGGUUGUUGGGUGGAGGCCUUACCUUAUGUCAUAUGGAGUAUCAAUACUACCCCCAAUAGGUCUACGGGUUACACGCCUUUUUUCAUGGUUUACGGAGCAGAGGCGGUUCUCCCUAGUGACAUCCUUCAUGACUCUCCUCGCGUGGCGGCUUACGUUGUAGCUGAUAAUGAGCAGGCACGUCAAGAUGCACUGGACCUCUUGGAUGAGAAGCGUGACCUUGCAGCAGCCCAUUCGGCGAUUUAUCAACAAGACCUGCGACAUUACCAUAGCCGCCGGGUUAAAUCCAGAACCUUUCAAGAAGGUGAUUUGGUGCUCCGGCUCAUCCAGGAUCAAACUGAUAUGCACAAGUUGUCCCCACCUUGGGAAGGGCCCUUUGUGGUCAGCAAGAAUUUGAACAACGGGUCAUACUACCUUAUCGAUAUUCGAGAGCACAAAAACUCACGUAAGUCGAAGGAGGAGACCCGCCGUUCGUGGAACAUCGCUCAUCCUCGGCCUUACUACACUUGAGCCACCGGCUCUUAUGAUGUACAUAUUUUUUACGAUGUAUCCAUUAUGAUAAAUAAUAAAGCAGGACCUCUAUCCUAUUCAUCCUCAAACGAUCACAUGUUUUCACCAUCAUAAUUCCAAAGACCAAUUGGGGACUGAUCGUAUUCGAAUCUAACUUAACUCCUUUGGCACAGCUUCCUGAUCGUAUCCGAAUCAUAGCUGAUCAAACAACUUGAUCAUUUGGGGUCUGGAUCGUAUUCGAAUCAUAGCUUAACCCCUUUUGGUCCGACUUUGAUCGUAUUCGAAUCAGAGUCGUCAAAAAAGUCUCAAGGUCAUUUGGGGGCUUACUGGUCAAACAUAGGUCGUAUUGGAACCAAAGAGAACAUAGCUGUCGGUACCCUCUUAAUCGGCGCAAUGCCAAGGUCACUAGGGGGCUUCUUGAUUGUAUUCGAAUCAUAGCUUAACCCCUUUUGGUCCGACUUUGAUCGUAUUCGAAUCAGAGUCGUUAAAAAAGUCUCAAGGUCAUUUGGGGGCUUCCUUUCCAAACAGAGGUCGUAUUCGAACCAAAGAGAACAUAGAUGUCGGUACCCUCUUGAUCGGCCCAAUGCCAAACCCAAUAGGAGGCUUACUGAUCAUAUUCGAAACAUAGCUUAACCCCUUUUGGUCCGGCUUACUGAUCGUAUUUGAAUCAGAAGCCUUGCUUUUUUCUCUUUGUUUGGCUUAAGUUUUUUGAAAACAAUCUUUGGGGUUUGUCUUGAGACAUUUUUGAUCAUAUCUGAGGCAUAUAUAUAUAUAUAUGUGGUUUCUAUUUAACCCGGCUUAACUUUGGACGAUAAGUCGCCAGCAUAUGACAAUCAUCAAGCAUUUGGAAGUCUUGGCUUCUAAAGAUUGGGUUAUCACCUUUACUGCACAGGUCACGUAAACCGGCAGUGAAAAUUCAAUAUCACAUGUAUGAUAUUAUUAUUAUAGUUAUGUUUCAAAGUUAUGAUUUAUAACAGGCUUAUCUGUGACUCCUUUUUUCACAUCAAUAGUUAUAUGUGAGAUAUUAUGACCCGCCCUGCGGUAAACCGUCAAGCGUUCUUGUGAUCUAUUUCUGUGUGCAGGAUGUUUCAAGGACUUUCUUAUGCACAAGGAAAAUAGAUGUUAAGUAUAACAAGGGUAAAUAUAAAAGAGGCGGCUUAAAAGUGGUGAGCACCAAAAACGUGCAAAAUGGCACGACAAAUCAAAGUCAUUUCUACCCUAUUACAUGACUCACUGAGUCCAAAUGAUUAAACUAUUUUUUUAGAAGGCUACUAAUAUGAGCCGCCUGGCGGGUCAAUUCUCUUGUUGGCCUAAUGCUUCUGGAUCAACCCUCGCCACUUCUUUGUCCCGUUUCCCGUCCUGGAAGGUUGAUGACGACUAGUCAAUGCUAUUCAAAGCUUCAAAUUCAGCUUCAUCAUCAAUUAGCCUGGAUGGGUCAACUUCAGGGGCGAAGGUAUGCUUACGAAUUGGGGGGAUCAGGCCUGUCGCUUUAUAAACGCGGCAUCGACAUCCUCUGAUUUCCCGCGUCAUAAGCCGGGUGGUACUUGAUGAGGUCUGUCUCAUCGGCAAUCAAGCUGGCCACAGGGCGUAUUUCCUUCACACAAGCAGCGGAGUCCUCCUGUUCAAAUGAAGUGCCAUCCUCCUUAAGGCUUGGAUACCCAAUGGCGAUGUCGGCUGGGUCUAAUUCCGGUAACCAUGCUUUGGCCCGGCUUAAGGCAGCCACGACUCCGGCUCUCGCAGAGGAUCGCUUUAAUUUGUUGAACAGCUGUGGCAGCACAGAAAGCUUCUUUAGCACAUCAACAAGGAGCGUGGGGACUUCAUUUGACAGGGCAACUGUGGAUAAGGCAUGCUGAGCUCCAGAGUAAAGUUGUUCUACGAGCGUGUAAAUCGCCUUCAGCUUCACCAGCAUGUCCUUGUUGAGGUUGGUGCUCCUGGGGCCUGCAUAGCAAUAAUAGAUGAGUUAACAACAGUUCAUAUAAUCACCAGAAAGAUUCAACACUUGACACUUGUAGGGCAGCUUACCAAAGAUCACCGAGACCAUCUGAGACACAUGGCGUUUUAAGCCGGACAAUUCAGUAGUCACCUCUUCAAGAGCCGCCUCUGCUUUUUCCGCUCGAUGGGUCAAGGCUAUAUUUUCUUUAGCCCAGGCCUUUUUCUCAACUUCAAACUCGGCCCUUUGUUUUUCUUGUUUAGACUCGCUGAAUUCAAAUUUGGAGUAUGCUCUCCGAGUCUCCGUCUCUUGCAGCUCCAAGCGGUUCUUCAAUUCAGACAAUUCUGUUGAAGUUGAGCAGUGGUGGUCUGUACAUGUACCGGAUCAAAAUCAUAAACAUUAGUAUGCAAUAUUAAGUCCCAAGCCUUUUGCAAGCAACAAAACUUGGCACUUGGGGGCUAAUGUCUACCGGAAGUUUUUUCUAAAUGGCGGCUUAUGAGAUUAAAGUCCCAAGCACUUUGCAAGCAAGAGUACUUGGCACUUGGGGACUAAUGCAUAUUGAUGUUAAAAGUUACACAAAUACUAUCUUCUACACAAGCAUAUGAAGGACCGGCUCAUUCAUGCUGAUUAAACCGGCCCUUGGGGACUACGGAUUAAGCCGGAUUUUUAAAGGUUUUACCAAAGCAUAUUACUGAUGUUCAUAAGUUUGUUCUAAGUCUACAUCAUAUUCAUCAUAAACAGUAGACUUGGGGGUUGGCAUAGUAACGCUACUAGGAAAAAACCUAUACACAGAAUCUUACCAGCAGCGCUCUCCAAAAUACCACGCUACUGCUAUUUAGCAGCAGCGCGUGUUAUCAAAACGCGCUGCUGACAGGAAAAUAGCAGUAGCGCGUCCACCGCAAACAGCGCUACUGCUAUAGUUGCCAUGACCUCGCCCCCCGCUAGUUAUAGCAGUAGCGCACUAUACUGAACAACGCUACUGCUAUAGAAGUUAGCAGCAGCGCGCUUCUAGGAAAACUGCUACUGCUAAGAUCAGCCCAUAAGUUUAGUCCCACCUUGCUCCGUGAACAGGGUGUUUACCACCUUAAAUAUGUUAUUUCUGAAACUACCACAACCAAUUGGUCUUCACUGAACUCUAUGUGUAAAAUUUGUGGCCGCAAUAUGAGUCCUCUCCGGUUCUUACUCUCGAUAUGUGCUCUUUUUGUUGUUGCAGGCUAGCCCUAGCUCUCUCAAUUUCUAGCUCACUCAGCUCUCACCUCCGACUCUCGAGGUAGAAGAAGACUAGAGGAGGGAGAUGGACACAGGAAAAUUUUCUUCGCGCACGUACGCCACCGCCGCUCGAACGGCGUCCUUUUCCUUGAGCUCAAACUCAAUACACCCGGCGGCUUUUAUAGCCGCGUGCACACACACUACACGCACGCACGAUGGAUCCGGCCACCAUAGCACGUACCGCUAUGACCGUUUCCUGCGCACGAACUAACACACGCCACAGCCGGCCACUAACAGCACAUACCCAUGCACUAACAAACCCAUGCAUGAGCUGACCCACAACGCGGCUGCUCCCAACAGCCUCAGACUCCGCUCAUCAACGAACGCGACUCGGCCAGCUUGCCGCUCGACGCCGUCGCCAAGAUUAGUGCUGACAAUUUCCUCCCUAAUCUUGACGCGACUCGCCCGUCGACCGUCGUCUUGAACGUGUUGCCAGCCGCCCUCGCACGUGACGAAGUCAGGCACACGCCCAACUUCCGCACCGUGCUGCGUCCCUUCUUGUCGUCCUCACGUCGCCAUGUACGCCACCGCAGUGUCUGCGUCACACGCCUCCGCUCGCUGCCGCUGCAGCAGCCCGCAGUACCGUGGGCCGCCACGCCGCGUCUCCGUGCCACGCACCUUCCACGGUUGUUGCGCCGAGCCGUCGCGACCUCUGCGUCACCACGCAGGUCCCUCGCGACCUUCUCGUCUCCGCGACCGCCGUGCCCUUCGCGCGCACUCGCCACGUCGCCGCGCUCCCAGCCCGCGCUCUCGCCGCGCACGUACGCAAUCUACGCAACCAGGUCCAGCGCCUCGACGCGGUCCACGCCCGCGGUCCCGACGCGCCUGACGCGUCCGGUGCGCACCCAUAACACGCACCGGUCGCGCCCGGCUCGCCGCCGUGCCUCAUUCGCCACGCUCCGCACGUCUCCAGCUCGCGCCAUGAUCGCACUCCGACGCGAUCAACGCGGCCGAACCGACGUGUCCAGGAGCUUGACCUUCUCUCGGCUGAGCCGCGCCGCGCCACCGCAGCCUCUGCGCCACCACGCAGGCCCGCCGCGGCCGCCGCGCUCCCCGCACGCACGGCAUCACCGUGCUCCGCCGCCGCACGGGACGAGCGCCAUCGCCGGCGAGCUCCUCCGAACCCGAUGCUCUGAUACCAAUUGUUGUUGCAGGCUAGCCCUAGCUCUCUCAAUCUCUAGCUCACUCAGCUCUCACCUCCGACUCUCGAGGAAGAAGAAGACUAGAGGAGGGAGAUGGACACAGGGACACAGGAAAAUUUUCUUGGCGCACGUACGCCACCGCUGCUCGAACGGCGUCCUUUUCCUUGAGCUCGAACUCAAUACACCCGGCGGCUUUUAUAGCCGCGUGCACACACACUACAUGCACGCACGAUGGAUCUGGCCACCAUAGCACGUACCGCUAUGACCGUUUCCUGCGCACGAACUAAUACACGCCACAGCCGGCCACUAACAGCACAUACCCAUGCACUAACAAACUCAUGCAUGAGCUGACCCACAACGCGGCUGCUCCCAACAGCCUCAGACUCCGCUCAUGCACGAACGCGACUCGGCCAGCUUGCCGCUCGACGCCGUCGCCAAGAUUAGUGCUAACACUUUUGGUGUAGAAAAAAUCUCUGCUAUAUCUUUCAUAUAAAUGACUUAAAUGCAAUACAGUAGAGUAACGGAAAAACCUUAAAUUGAUCCUCAAAUUGUGAACUGAAUAGCACCGUUGAUGUAACCUUUGUAGUACAUCUUAGAGCUGGUAGGCUCGCGGUGACAUACUCAUGGAUAAACAAUGAGGUGAAUCUGGGCACGGUUAUCCGUCCACGAGGCUCCUGUGCGCUCCAUGAUCAUCUAAUUUUGUGCUAAUGUACAAGAGCUGACUUUCCUAAAUCUAGCCCUAAUUAGACGUAUGCGCAGGAGUCCAACAAAAUGACAAUUGGCAAGCUGAUGAACAAAUACCUCAACUGUGGAACGUAGUGGAGUAGCAGUUGCAGGGAGCAGCCCCUCGCCUCGGCGGCUGCGUGUUCCUCGCCUUAAUGGAGGGGUGCGGUGGUGGCGGCGUCGUCCUCACAUCCCGAGUCAUUCGCGGGCUGAUCUGCAGAGACAUGACGGGAUAUAUGGCGAGAAGCGGAGGCGACAGGACGGGAGAUCAGGCUGAUGGCGGCGCAACCUAAGCAAGCCGGGGUGUUCGGGGAUCGUUCCAUCUGGAGCAAGAGUAAGGCGUAUGGCUGCGGCAUGGCGCGGAGCUUCCCUGCGUGUCGUGCUCCUAGACAGGGUAGGCGCGCUGCGGUCGCAGAUAGGGAGGGUGCCCGAGCAUCACGGUGCAAUGAAUAAAAACACUGAUUGUGGAGGAGAUCACGCAGACAAAAUUAAAGCCUCUAACUAGGGCUAGUUUUAGGAAAAUUGGAUGAAAGGAAGGGGCCAAAACAAAACAAAAAGGGAGCGGGGCAGCGUACAAUGGAACGGAGGGACAGGGCUGGACGAAAAUGUGGGAAGAAAUAUUGAUGUAAGAUGAGAGAGGUAGUAGAGAAGGAAGGAGAUGUAUUGAUUGAAAGAAGGAAGGAGAUGUAAACCAUGGUGAUAGUCAAAGAAGGAAGAAUAUUGAUCACGGUUUCAAUGAAAGAAGGAAGGAGAGAUUAAUCACCGUUUGUUUGAAAGAAGGAAGGUGAUUGAAUGAAUUGAUUGCCAUGCAUGAAUUGAUUGCGUUUGAAAUAAUUGUGUCUGGUUACCUUAUGUGAAAUGAUUGCGUUUGGCAUGAUUGCCUCUGGUUACCUUAUGUGAUUGAUUGCGUCUUGUUUGUCCGGCCAGAGGGAGAAAACCGUGAGGGAGAAAACCGGGACGGGGGAAAGAAAAUCGGCGGGUGAGUGGGUCGUACGAGAGGUGGGACUGGGACGGGGGAAAGAAAAUCGGGGGUUGAGGGGGUCGUACGGGAGGUUGGACGAAGCGGGGAACGUAAGACUAGCCACAAUGGGUAGUAACAUAGAAUAGUAACAUGCCAUGUUACUACUCUAUGAUACUACCUCUAUAGUGGGGAGUAACAUAUGCGUGAUAACAUGCAACACUUCAUUUAUUAGACCAUAGACUCAUUUUGCCUUGAUAUGUGUGAUGUUACUCAUACUAGUAGUAACUAGCUAUGUUACCACAUGCCUCUCUUUCUUCAUUUAUUGCUUGCCACAUCAUCCAUUUUAUCUAGAUAUGUGUGAUGUUACUAUCUAUGUUACUCCCAUUGUGGGUAGUCUAAGAGGGGAAACAGAACACUACGUUUCUCGUAGAUAGUAGAGAUUGAAAAUUUCGUUUCCUUUUGUUGAGAAUACCAUGGAUGUGAUUUCUUUCUAAAACUUCGCACAUGAGUAACAUGAUUGACGAGGUUCGAUGCCCCGUAUGUUCAGAUUAUUAUUAUUAUUUCCUAGUGUUUUUUCUUUUACUAUUAAGCACCCAAGAGCUCCUAAUCCGUGUCCAUACAUGUCUCAGUUAAUUUGCAUGGCAUGCAUGCAUGUGCGAAUUUGUGGUAAUUAAUUUGCAUGCACGAGGCUAGCAACCUAGCUAAUUUCUCCCGGCCAGACCGGCCAGGCCAUGCUUUCUCUUCUUCUUAGCACCAUCAUUGCUUACAAAUGCAGUGGCACACCCUACUGGGACUGGGGUGUGUGUUGGUGUUGGUUACUCUGUCCUUCUCCCGGACAUCAAGUCGAGCCAUCGGCACAGGCAAAAGGCAUGCCUGGCACCACGGAAUUGGCUAGUCCUAGCUAAUGGUCUUGCGGUGUCAUCAGAAUGAAUGGUCAAUACUACUAGUACUAUCAAUCAUGCUAUAACUUGGAACUUCGCACGAUGAGAGAUUGAUCCAUGGUACUAUUCAAUUAUGACAUCAAGAUAUUAUCGAGCAUCGCCAAAACCAAGAGCAAUCUCGCGAUCAUUUCAUUGCGAAACAAAUGCAUGUGUUCCUAUCUCAUCGACUUUCAGCCAAAUUACAAAACCCACAAGUUUUGGCAGAGCUGUCGUCCGGUGUUACUUAUGGUACAGGUAGUAAAACGACGCCUGAACGAAUGAUACACGCUCAACACAAGGUACUACCACGUUUCACAAAAAAAAGUACUCCCUCCGUAAAGAAACAUGAGAGGGUUUAGAGCUCUUAAGCAGUGAUCCAAAUGCUCUUAUAUUUCUUUACAGAGGAAGUAUUUCUUUGGUUCAAUUAGCUAGCUAGGGGACUGUCAAAAUUUAUUUACUAACAUGGUAGCCUCAUUGUCAAACCAUCUUCCAUCAGAGUCGUCAUCGAGUUCUAAUCAACAUUUUAAUGUACGUGGUUGAUGGAUCAGUUUCUGGAUCCUCGUCCAUUUCAACUAUCUAUAAGCAGAGCAGAAGGUCCUCUCAUGUGAAACGAGCAUGCGAGAAACAUAGUAGGGCGAUGCAUGGUGUACCACGCACUACUUUUCCAACAUCGAGUAUGUAUUCCGGUCGACUGAUUUAUUGCCCAAUCGGACAACAUUUUCCAUCAUCCCUUGUACUGCAACCACCUACUGAUCAGUGCUACCCUACUUUUCAUAACUCAUUUUGACUUGUUCCUUGAUCGACAGGUCACCAUCUUGUCAGGCCCGGUCCUGAGAUUUUGGGGGCCCGGGGCAAGUCAAAAAUCCAGGCCCCCAAAAAAAGGACAAUAAUAUAUAUAUAUAUAUAUAUAUAUAUAUAUAUAUAUAUAUAUAUAUAUAUAUAUAUAUAUAACCAAUAAACACUUAAGUGCAUCCAAUUUUGGUAUUUACAACUAAUAUUUUUUACAUAGGGUUUGUCUAGGGCACAUCUAAAUGUGCUAUAGUUAUUGCACAUCUAAGUGAGACAAUCAAGUAUAGAAAGGAAAAGAAAAAAGCAAAAGAAAAUUCCCACACAAAUCUCCGCAUAAGAUCAAUGAUAUAAGAUUUAGAUGUGCAAUACUUAUGGCACAUCUAGAUGUGCUUUAGCAAAACUGUUUUACAUAUUAUCCUAAGUUUCUUCUAAAAUCCUGCUGGCCAUCCACGUCCUAGUGGUAAGGCCAUGAUUUGCAUCAUUGCAUGGCAAGAAAUCACUCAUUCUUCUAUCGGGGAUAGACAUAUGCAUGAAGAGGAAAAAAAACUCCUAACGUUAGACAUCCAUUGAUCCCGGAAAACAUCGAAAAAACCCAGCUACGCAGCACCGAACAAGGUUAAAUGACAGUGAAUAGAUGAUGAGGGCAGUGUAAAUAAUAGGGAAAUAGUAAGAUGAUAUACCUCAGAACAAUCACAUCGGCUGAUAGGCGUUCAUGAUUACGCGCUCCACAACAACAUGAUGUGGACGGAGGCACUCGGCGAUGUACUCCCAGCGCCUGCAAAGUGGAUAACGGACGGGCUCGGCGCUGUCAAUCGCCAUGGCCUGACGAUGUGCGUGUGAGUCCUGCGUGGCCACGCCCAGCUACGACUCACACUCGCACGCCGCCGGCAGAUAGUACUCCUAUAUGAUGUUCGGGACCAAGUCGCCGGAGUAUUCUCUAGUAGCGGGAUCUGAAAUUCGGAGCCAAGAAAAAGGGAAUAGGGAGUGAAUUAGGGAUCCGAUCUCACGUCUGACGAGUUACAAUCGUAUUGAUUGUACGACGUGAUUGCGUGCGUACAAUAUGGGCCUAAUUUCGUUUCGGGAGAUGGAAAUAAUGAAUUACUGAUUGCGUCCUUGUCUAGUUUUGCCAGGCUUUUCUUUCAUUUUUUUGCGGUGAGCCUAGGUUUUCCUUUAUGGAGCCAAUUUCGUCCUAGGGAAGAUACGGGCCUAUGGGCCACCUGCGUACAGCAUGUCUGGGAGGGGGCCCCUAGAUGUUGGGGGCCCGGGGCGACCGCCCCCCCGGCCCCCCACCAGGGCCGGGCCUGCAUCUUGUCACAAGUUGCCGCUGCUCUGUGCUAAUGGUCAAUGAAAUUCCAGCAAAUGCUGGACUUUUCAAAAAAAAAAAUAGUGCUACACUAUGUGGCAGGGAGAAAAAAAGGUUGUCAAUGCAAUGUUGUGGGCAUGACUAAACCGUGCGGUUAGUAAAGACGACCCAUCCAUCCAUGAUUACCAUCUACUCUCUUCGUCACAUAAUACAAGAGUGUUUUUUAUGCUAGUGUAUUGUCAAAAACGCUCUUAUAUUAUGGGAGAGAGGGAAUACAAAGCUAGCUUUAUUGAGUAUUCUAAAACUUCAGAAAGUUCAAUAGGACAACCUAAUCGAUAGAUCAUUCAUAUGCAUAGUCUACUUCUACUUUAUAAUAAAAGAAGUAGCACUCCUCAAAUGCUCCCUAUACGUCCGAAUGGCCGACCCGGUGAUCAGUCACAAAAUCAUGACCCAACCGGACUUCUCAAACCAACCCUAUACAUUCGGACUGACCGGUAUCCCAUAUCUAGUCCAUAUCAGGGCAGAUAAGGGAAGGCCCGGACAUGCUCGGGUGCGCCCACCACGUCGGCUCCAACAGACAUGACCCACCACAAAUUUCAUCAAAUCCACCCCGACAAAGACGGAUUAGCCAUUUUUCUCUCCUAUCUUCUCUCUCGUCUGCGCUGGCCCUCCCCUAGCUAUGCUGCCACCCUAGCUUUGCUGCCGUUCCGACCCCUCAUCGUCGCCACCAUAGCCAAACAACUCCUCCCGACAGCCUCGCUGGCCCGAACACUGUUGCCGGCCCAGACAAUGAUGCGGUAUGUCCGUGUCUUCUCAGACUACACCGUGCGCUUAUGUGUUCGACAAUUUGUCCGAGCAAUUUUUUAUUGUUUUGUAGGCAAAAUGAUGAACUCAGAGGGUUCGUCGGAUGAGGAGUAUUAAGUGUUGGGGAACGUAGAAGAAAUUUAAAAUUUUCUAUGCAUCACCAAGAUCAAUCUAUGGAGAUUCUAGCAACAAGAGAGGGAGAGGAUGAGCAUCUUCAUACCCUUGAAGAUCGCUAAGCGGAAGCGUUACAAGAACACGGUUGAUGGAGUCGUACUCGCGGCGAUUCAAAUCACGGAAGAUCCGAUCUAGCGCCGAACGGACGGCACCUCCGCGUUCAACACACGUACAGCCCGGGGACGUAUCCUCCUUCUUGAUCCAGCAAGGGGAGAGGAGAAGUUGAGGGAGAACUCCGACAGCACGACGGCAUGGUGGUGGUGGAGCUCGUGGUAUUCCUGCAGGGCUUCGCCAAGCACUACGGAGUAGGAGGAAGAGUUGGAGGAGGGAGGGGCUACGCCAAAAGCAAGGAUGCUGCAGCCCUCCCAACCCCUCUCUAUUUAUAGGGUGAAGGGGAGAGGGGGCCGGCCCCUCUAGAGGGGGGGGGGGGGGCAGGAGUGGGAGACUUGCCCCCCAAGCAAGGUGGAGGCGCCCCCCUACCCUAGGGUUUCCAACCCUAGGCGCCUUGGGCCCUUGGGGAGGGGCGCACCAGCCCACUAGGGGCUGGUUCCCUCCCAUAUCUAGCCCAUUAAUCCCCCCCGGGGCAGGUGGCCCCACCCGGUGGACCUCCGGACACCUUUCGGUGGUCCCGGUACAAUACCGAUAACCCCUGAAACCAUUCCGGUGACUGAAACUGGACUUCCCAUAUAUAAAUCUUCACCUCCGGACCAUUCUGGAACUCCUCGUGACGUCCAGGAUCUCAUCCGGGACUCCGAACAACAUUCGGUAACCACAUACUAAUUCCCAUAACAACUCUAGCGUCACCGAACCUUAAGUGUGUAGACCCUACGGGUUCGGGAAUCAUGCAGACAUGACCGAGACAUCUCUCCGGCCAAUAACCAACAACGGGAUCCGGAUACCCAUGUUGGCUCCCACAUGUUCCACGAUGAUCUCAUCGGGUGAACCACGAUGUCGGGGAUUCAAUCAACCCCGUAUACAAUUCCCUUUGUCAAUCGGUAUGUUACUUGCCCGAGAUUCGAUCGUCGGUAUCCUAAUACCUCGUUCAAUCUCCUUACCGGCAAGUCACUUUACUCGUUCUAUAAUGCAUGAUCCCGUGACUAACUACUUAGUCACAUUGAGCUCAUUAUGAUGAUGCAUUACCGAGUGGGCCCAGGGAUACCUCUCCGUCAUAUGGAGUGACAAAUCCCAGUCUCGAUUCGUGCCAACCCAAUAGACACUUUCGGAGAUACCUGUAGUGCACCUUUAUAUCCACCCAGUUACGUUGUGACGUUUGGUACACCCAAAGCAUUCCUACGGUAUCCGGGAGUUGCACAAUCUCAUGGUCUAAGGAAAUGAUACUUGACAUUAGAAAAGCUCUUAGCAAACAAACUAUACGAUCUUGUGCUAUGCUUAGGAUUGGGUCUUGUCCAUCACAUCAUUCUCCUAAUGAUGUGAUCCCGUUAUCAAUGACAUCCAAUGUCCAUGGUCAGGAAACCAUAACCAUCUAUUGACCAACGAGCUAGUCAACUAGAGGCUCACUAGGGACAUGUUGUGGUCUAUGUAUUCACACAUGUAUUACAGUUUCGAAUUAAUACAAUUAUAGCAUAAACAAUAGACAAUUAUCAUGAACAAGGAAAUAUAAUAAUAACCAUUUUAUUAUUGCCUCUAGGGCAUAUUUCCAACAUUAAGGAGCUUGGUGAAUUGAUCAAAAGGAAUUCUUUGAUUCAUCGGAUUCGGAUGAUGAAGAUGCUGACAUGAUGACGAUGAGCAACCAGGGGGAAAUGGAGAGGAAGUUGGGGCACAUUCUAAACUUCAACGAUUCAAUCAAAGGGCGGAGAGUUUUCAACCGAGAUAGGAUCACUGGCGCACGGCUCCUCUACAAGGACUAGUUUCACCCUAUACGAACAUUUCCUGGAACAUUUUUUUGUUGAUGCUUCAUUAUGCGUGGACCCUUGUUCCAGCGCGUGGUUGAGGGAGUGCAGGAACAUGACCCCUACUUAAGGCUCAAGGAGGAUUGUUGAGGAAAAGUAUCGUGUUCUCCUUUGCAGAAAUGUACGGUUGCACUGAGGAUGCUUGCAUUGGGUACCGCUGUCGAUGUCAUGGUGAGAUGGUCCUGAUGGGGGAGAGCACAUGCCUUGACAUCAUUGUGAGAUUUCCCCGUGCCAUGGUGAAGAUGUUGGGAGUGGAGUGUCUUAGAGAACCAACUGUGCAAGAUAUAGAAUGGUUGAUGUCUAUUGGAGCGGCAAGAGGUUUUCCAAGUAUGCUCGGUUCAAUUGAUUGCAUGCAUUGGUAAUGGAAUAAGUACCCCCAAAGUUUGUGUGGGACGUACCAAGGUCAAACCAAAUAGGCCACAAUGAUAUCGGAAGAAGUGAUAUUAAGGUUGUUCUGGAUUUGUCAUGCUUUCUUUGACUUGUCUGGUUUUCACAACGACAUCAAUGUGUGCUCCAACGGUCUCCAUUGUUUCAGAUACUUUGUGAUGGGGAAGCGCCGCCAUGCAACUACACCAUCAAUGAGCACAACCACAACAUGGGGUACUACAUUGCUGAUGGUAUUAUCCUCGGUGGCGGCAUUUGUGAAGACCAUAUCUGUUCCACGUGGCAACAAACAAAGCCGCCUUGCAAAAAUGUAAGAAGAAGCUAGGAAGGAUAAGGAGAGGGCAUUUGGAGUGCUCAAAGCACAUCGGGGUAUAGUUGGUGGAGCUACAAUGAUGUGAGAAUCAGAGACUUUGUGAAAGCUGAUGACAUGUUGUGCCAUUUUGCAUAAUAUAAUUGUUGAGGUCGGUGGUGAAGGUGUAGCCCGAACCCAUGAUUUUCGGAAUGCAAUUCCACAUCCUAGAACAAAAUGCAGAACAUAUUCUGAAUUUUCUAGAGAUGCAUCGAAACCUUCGAGAUCAACAGGUGCACAUGAACUACUCAAUUAUCUUGUGGAGCAUAUGUGGAUCCACAAUGAAAACCAAUGAGUUUAAUGUUUGAAUUGUGAACUUCAAAUAAAUUUUAUGUUCGCACUAUGUAUUUUCAAUACGAACAUUUGUUAUUUACGUGUAAUAUUCAUCGUGUAUGAUCGACUUGCACGGAGUGUGACAGCCAAAAAGUACAUUUGAGGGUGGUCUGAUGCUGUCUAAGGUCGUGUCCGGCACAUCUGUGGAUGUUUAAAUGACCGGAUUUGUCAAGUUCAACUGUAAAUGCUCUGAGAAGACAAUGAAAUGCUCUAUCACUAGGAAACGACACACCCAAUUUUUUGACCUAAUUAAACUAAGUAGGUGCCUCUAUGGAGUUUGGAUACAUGCUACUCCCUUCGUCCCAUAAUGCAUUAGAGUCAAAAAACGUCUUACAUAAUGGGACAGAGGGAGUACUAAUUAAUCUCAUCUAUAGAAUGCAACCUGCAUUGCACACACAAAGAUUGGUACAAUGCUACUUUUAGGAUGAUAAUAUUACUUUAUGGAUAAGACAAGGGAAUAUGAAUGAAUAUCUAGCGAGUACUGUCAAGCUGCAGCAAAGUUUGGAGAUGGAAUACAGUAGUACAAGAAGGCUUUAUUUAUUCUUGUUAGCUUGAUCGAGCAGCUUUAUUCUGCACGCUGCACGCAUUGAAAAGAGAAAAGAAGUGUCCAUUUACACAUCCGCACAAAAGUAAGAAUGGAAUAUGCACACCGGACCACCGUGUAUGGUAUGUAGUGGAACGAUGAAAGAAAAAGUCGUAUCUGCUGCUUUGUUCUCUCCUUUCCAACUGAAUUCUUUAAUUAUUGACGAGGAGCCUUCUCAAUGUUAAGAGUACAUAUUCAGCGCAACCUUCCUUUUUCUUAUUCUCCGAUCACACCAACAGAAAGUCAUCGACCAGUCACUUCGUGUCCCCGCUGUUGCACCACCGCUGCGCCACUUCGCAUCGCCGCCAUUGCACAGACUAGUCCGUCGACCAGGCAAGCCGCAUGAUAGGAGCACUCUACGUAUGGCAGAGGCAAUGAUGCAAGAAGGUAGUCCUGCCACCGCCUUCCCCUAGUGGCAACGAGGGGGACGGGAGGAGGCGGUUGCUGCUAGGGUUUGCUCGAACCGCCCUAGCAUCCAAGUUCCAUUGUGUAUGCCACACCCGUUCGGGGCACCAACGGAGCGCUCCCGCACGAGGAAGACAACCACACAAGAAGGUAGCCCCACCAUCGUCAUUCUCUGGUGGAAGUGGGGGAGGUUGGCACGAAAAGGAGGCGGCAACGGCUAGGGUUGGGUUGAGCCGUCCCGGCGUCGAAGCUCCCACAAGAGAGACACAACCGAGUGAGAAGGUAGCUCCUCCGCUGCCGUCCUUCGGCCACAGCUGAAGGGAUACGAAAAGGAGGCGACGAUAUCUAAGGUUUACUAGAGCCACACCCCCUCCGACCCCCCAAAGCGACGCAUGCACUAUAUUUGGAACCACCUAAAUCAAGUGAUUCCUGGACAGAAAAAGAUAACCCCAAGGUUAAUGCAAACUAGUUCAAAGGUCCUCUCCCUCUAGGUUUAUAUUUCGGGUGUAUGUUCCUGGGUCAUUAAUUUUACCAAUGAACUUCAAGUUGUAUGUCAUGAAAAAUACAUCAUUAGAAACUUCAUUCGAAUACAAAUUCACGGGUAUAGAUUUUGGUAAAUUAUAAUUUGAUGUUCAAUGGUUAAAGUGACGACACAUAGAUAUGAGGAGGCACCGUAAAAUGGGGAAAAGAGGUCGUAACCUUUUUUUCAAAUGAAAAGGGGUUGUAAUCUCGGGACCCCCCAAAACACAUGCUUAUUAGAAAGCCUGCAAGAAUAUAAAAAUUUGUGAGUGGUAUUUUAAAAGAAAGAAAAAAAGGCCGCGGGAUAAAAAUGAGGCACAUCCAACGUAUUUCUUUGCUCGUGGGACUCAUGGGGUACAUCGUGCGAAGCGGGCCUCCCCGCAGCUCCGCACAAAAGUUGCAUCAUACGUUCCUUCAUUUGAUCCGAACCCGGGGAUACUUCGUCACUACCAACCUCCCAAACGGAAAAUAAUUCUAUAAGAUCAGGUCUCACGGAUUAGCAGGUGAGACUCAUCUUGACGGACGACACGUGGCAUUCACAAAUCACAAAUCAUCUACCCCAUCCCCACCUGAAAUCAGGGGGAGAGAGGUUAGAUACUUUGUGAUUUGUGAAUGCCACGUGUUAUCCAUCAGCGCGGGUCUCACCUACUAACCGUGAGACCUGGUCUCAUAUAAUUUUUUCCCCUCCCAAACGGCCAUGAGCUUGGGGUUGCAUCCACGUAAGAACUAAAAAGGGGAAGCUGGAGGAUGAAUAAUUUCUGGUCAUGUCAUGCCUCGUCAAACGCGAAGUUGGAGGAUGAAUAAUUUCUGGUCACCACGUGCAUUGAUGUAGCGAAAUCAGUACAGUAAACAUAAAAUUACUUCCCCUGCUAUGAAAGCUCGGGAGCUGCAUCAAAACUAAGGGCAUGUACAAUGGUUCUAUCUUAGCAAUGCCACGUAGGGUAAAUGAUGAGGUGGAGAAGAGAGAAAUUAUAAGAUAAGACUUGUUUUAUCUUAAUUAAGAGAAGGCAAGAGAUGAUCUCUUAGCACAAUAUGUCUCACCAUGUUUUUAGAAAUAACUAGUUAUUGAAGAUAAGGCUAAGAGAUAACCCAUUGUAGACAUGCUUUUUUGUCAUCUCUAAACUACAUGCAAGAUUUAAGAUAAGACCGCCUUAUCAACCAUUAUACAUGCCCUAACCACCCUAUCACAUUGACCAGGCACAACAUCGAAAAUCUAGCCGGCAUUCAUGGUUUCCCUUUAUUGCUUAUUAGCACCGGGGUGAAAUAGAUUCAUAAGUUAACCGUAUUUUGAAUUAACUAUGCAUGUAAAUGUCCACUUGGUGUCCAGUGUUUGACCAAAUGCAAUUGCAAGUUCGUCUCGGCGGCUCUAAGGCUAGUCAUAGUGGGGAGUAACUUAGACUAGUAACAUGCAUAUGUUACUAGUCUAUGUUACUACUAUCUUCGUCCGGGCUUAUUGGUUCCCAUUGUAUUUCGUGUCAAAUUUUGACCAUAGAUAAACUAACAAAAUGUUCACGCAUGUCACCAAACAUUAUAUUUUUGAAAACUAUGUUUAAAUACGAAUCCAAUGAGAUAACUUUUCUUGACAUGCAUUAACAUUUUGUUAGUUAACUCUUUAGUUAAAAUUUGGCACAAACUACAAAGGGGACCUAUAAACCAGGACGGAGGUAGUACCUUCAUAGUGGAUAGUAACAUAUGGAUGAUAACAUGCAAGCCUUCAUUAAUUGAGAUAUAGACUCAUUUUACCUCGGGGUGUGUUAUGUUACAGUAACAUAUUAUGUUACCACAAGCAUCUCUUUCCUCAUUAACUCCAUGCCACAUAAGCAUUUUUUUUCUUGGAAUGUGCUAUGUUACUACCUAAGUUACUCCCACUGUGGCGAGCCUAAGUCUACGGCCUUGCCUCUUUCGGGCUCGGAGGCUUCACUUGACCCUUUCAAGCCGCUUGCCGCAUUCAGGCUCGCGGGCUCCACUUCGCCUCGACGUCUCCAAGGCUCCAGCCUCGCCUCUUUCGGAUUCAGGGGCUUCACUUCGCCCCAUCAGGCACCUGAUCAUGGCAUCUACGCUUGGGGGCUCCACUUCGCCGCGGCGGCUCCAAGGCUCCGGACUCGCCGCUUCCAGUCUUGGGGCUUCACUUCGCCCCAUCGGGCUCCUCACCAUGUCCAGGCUCAGGGGCUCCACUUCGCCUCAGCAGCCUCCUUGCUGCAUUAGGUCCUAGGGGCUUCUCCUCGCCACGUUGGCCGGCUUCAAGCCCUCGCCUCACCACGACCAGCUUUAUGUUGAUGCCAGUAUUACAAGACCCACCAUCCAAGUCCAAGAGUCGGCCGGAGGCAUGGGGGCUACUCCCACCCGGGUGCAUUGUCGUUGAGGAUGGUCAGCUUUGCAGGACUCAGUCUAGUGGCGUCUAUGAUGUGUUGCGAUUACUAUGUCUCCUGUAGGCACUGGGUUAAACCUGAUGUAUACAAUAAUAUUAAUGAAUCGACUAGAACAAGUAAGACAUUAGUUCACAGUAAAAUGAAGUGCUAACAUGGAUGACAAACUUCUUCUAAACCCCAUACAAUAUCUUUUUUUUUCUUUGGUCAUUACAUACACUAGAACAAACGCAUCAAGAUAUUAGUUAGACUUUAAACAUUAGAAAUCAUAUUAAGACCUUUAAUAAAAUAAGAGCGUCCCAAUGUAUACUGUAUUAUUUAUGCAAUUCAUAGAUUAAUCCUCAGAGACAAGCAGUUUUUUAUACAUAUUUUUCUCAUAUUUGCACAACAUACAGUUUAAAUUUGGCUACACAAAAAUUUAUAUCUCAAUUAUACGAGUUAGAGCCCUCUAACGAAGAACACCAUAAGUUCAUGAAAAUAUUGUUAUGAACAAUUAUGCUAACCAAAUUAUUAAAUAAAUAUAAUACUUGGAAUAAUUAAUUAAUAAAUAUAUUUUAAAAAUACAAAAGUUUAGUACACAUUUUAUUAGAUUUAAAGUCGGCAAGACUUGUGCACCUUAAUUGUUAUUUAACUUCUAAAUUUUUUUGGUUGCAGUUGCAGAUAAUACUUUUAAAUGUGUUAGUGGAAGAGACGCCGAAUAUGAAACAUGUCUCGCACUUAUGAUAAGUUGUCGAGUCCAUCGGCUGUCUCAGCGUCAUUCAUAAAAUGUUCAUGAAAACUUUAAACUAUGUUUAUGUAAAUCAUAAAAAAUGUUUGUACCAAUCAAAACAGUUCUCAUGCAACUAAAAAUGUUCAUGUAUUUAAACUAUAAUUUGCAACACUUUAAGAAAAUGUAAAAAAGAUCUAAAAUUCGGUUCAAUAAUUUUAUGGAAAAUUUCACAACAUAAAAAAAUAUUAUUAAUGUUUUAAGUAUUUUUUCUAACACUUGCGAGAUGUUUGCACAUUUUCAAAAAAUAUGCAUGGCAUUUUUUAAUAUGUUCAAUGUGUGUUUAGAAAUGUUUGUUGUGUAUAUAAAAAUCUUCAUUGUGCAUUUUAUAAAUGUUCAACAUAUGUUUAGAUAAGUAUUUAACAUAUUCAAGCAAAAAAUGAGGUAGUAUCUUAAAGAUAUUGAUUUAUAUACGAAACAAUUCAGCAUGUGCUAAAAAAGUUGAAAAGUACUUCGAAGAAAAUAAAAAUAAACAGAAAAUUAAGGAAAUCUGAUACAGAAAAAAUUUGAAGAUUUUUUUAAAUCACAUAGAACCUUCCAAAAACCGGGCGGAAGCUUCCAGGAACGGGUCCUCGGAAAAUUCACAAAAACCACUCGAUACCAUUUAUUGUGCUAGUCUACUUUAAACGAUCUCUGUAGGCAAGGGCGAUUUUCACCUCACAGUAUGUGAUGCAUAACAUAGGCCAAAGAAAAAGAUCAAACCAAAACAAAAUAUGGCAUUACGAAAAUUUCUGGAUUUAAAAAAUAUGUUGCAUGGCAUUAAAAAAAAUCUUAAAUAACAAAUGGAAUUCAUUGAUAUUUUCACGGGCAUCUUUCAGUGUGUUGUCUAUCUUCCUCUUUGGUUUCAUGGAGAUUCUCAUGGGCACCUCCAAACUUUAAGGAAUCUCCAAAGGGGACCUCUAAAACGAGCACAACAUCCAUCCACGGACAGUGAUACGGGAGCAGGCAUCCAACCGUGUCCCUCAAACGUCCGAACAUAUUUUAAAGAAUUUGAACGAACCGAGUGAGUUUCAUGCAAACCACAUGAUUUUCAUUUAAAUCGGACCACAUUCAUGACUUCUUGACAUAUUUCAUUAAACAAAGGCGAACAUUAAAGAUGUCCUAACCAAGGGGCCUCUAAUCAUAAUGACUCUCAGCCUGGUGGGCCCGGCUGAGGAGCCCUUUGCUUGUUUCGUCCAAGGCAAAUAACAAGAAGAUUUCAAAAGUCUUGGCGUGCAAGGCAAGAAACUGGGAUCGUGGAGGAUUCUGCCUCCUCGUACAUAGCCGAUUAGGAUCCGUAUACCCUAGGCCCCCCGGUGUGCUACAUAAGCCGGGGGUGAGGCUCCUAGAUAAACACGAUGAACAGCUGCAAGAAGACUAAGAAUGCUGAUAGAGUUCAUCAAAAGCAAAUUUACACAUCUCUUCAACAAUUAAAAAGAAUUAUUAAUGUAAUAUCUCAGGAUUAUGCAUGUAUAUAUUUGUUGAAAAUUAUGCUGAUGGAUUCAGUCUAUUUUACAUUUCAUGUGUGGGUGCUACAGAUAGAAGAAUAAAGUGUUGGGUAGGUAUUUACAUGAUCCCUCAAUGUUUUGCAAACUGAUAGAGGCGAAUACAAAAAUAAACCAGUCAUAAAAGCAAGAGUGGAAUAAUGCACACCGCACGUAUUGCAACUCCGCCGUCUGCCGAGAUCUGUGAGGACGCGCGCAACAUCAUGGCGCUGCGUUGGAAAGCAUCGCCGCCGCCGACGAGAUCCACUGGUUGAGGUACGCCUCUUCGGCAGCACCGGCGGCAUUGCAUCUAACAUGCUCGCAACGGCAACACCGGCCGCGCUGGAGCACCGGAGCUGGCACAUCGGACCUCAGUGUUGUGCAUCUCUCCUUUAUUUGCAGCAAUGACGGAGAUCCCCCAUGGAUUGCAGUUUGGAGGGGGAGCAGCACGCAUGGACCAGAGGAGGGGCAUAGGGCUAGCGACGGGGCCGUUGGAGAAGAAGAUGAAAUGGAGGACGGGUGUUGGAGAGAGAGAGAGAGAGCGCGCGGAGGUGAUUGCAUCAGGGGAGGGAGACGAACAGAGGACGAGCGGCUUCUGGAGAUAAGAGAAGGGAUGCGGUGCGUGGGGCCAGACACGUGUCGUACAUCGUGUGCGGUUUAAUCAGCGAUGAAAUCAUCUAGUUGAAAAAUAACAUUUUCCAUUAUUUAAUUAUUGACGAGGAGGCUUCUCAAUGUUCAGAGCAUAAAUCAUUCAAACCUUUUUAUAUUCUCCGAUCAAACAAACUCAUCGAUCAGUCACUUCGUGUCCCUGCUGCUGCACAACUAACCGCUGCACAAGUUCGCAUCGCCGCCGUUGUACAGACUAGGCCGUUGACCAGGAAAGCCGCCGCCAAUACGCGGCGAUUAGAUCGGGUGCUGCAGAGUCAACUCCGCGUCAAACAGCCAACCGGUCGAUGCCAUGCAGCAUUGCCACCCGUAGAGCGGUAUCCGCAUGGGAGAGGCAAAGGACGUGAGAUGGUAGUCCUGCCAACUUUGUCCUCUAGCAGCAACGUAGGGGGAGGGGAGGAGGCGCCUGCUGCUAGGGUUUGCUCGAACCGCCCUAGCAUUUGUUAGAGUUGGGUCGAAUAUUGUGUACAAAUUAGGUUAUAGUUGGACUCUGAGUAGUAUUGUGUUCACAUAGGAUAUGGAGUCGUGUCCUAGUAGGACACUUGUAUCCUAGGCCUCUCGUAUAUAGCGGGGCUAGACACACGAUGUAACCUAUGCCAACAUAAUAGCACGGGAACGCAGGGGAAGCAGGCGGCAUGUGCCGGCGUUCAGGGCGACCCGAUGCGGUAUUGUAUCGGUGUCAUGGGAGGGAGCGCCUAUAGUCAGGCCCCGGGGAUGUACCCAUAUCUGUGAACCUCGUUAACAAAUCUCGGUGUCGUGCUCAUGUGAUUGCUUUGUCCUCGGAUGAUCGACGGUAUACCUCGGAUUUAUUCUAACAAGUGGUAUCAGAGCUAGGUCAUUUGGAGGCUAUGAAUUGUUGAUCUAGAGGAAGGAAGCAUCGACAAAUAUCUGCAGGAAGAGAUCGUGAUGCGGGAGCGAAUAUCGUCGGCGAGUUAUGAUCCAGAAGCAGAGUUGGUCGUGUUUUGGUCUUCAAGCAGCAAUCGGACGCGAGCAGGUUGGCGGCGCGUUGCAGAUCGAUCUGGAAGCUGGCGGGGGCGAAAGCUGCUAGGGUUGCAUGACAUACGAGGCGUACGGUCGCGAGGCGAGACGGCGGUUGAUCCACCUGAUCGAUCGGGCGAGCGUCACUCGGUGUGUGCAUGUGUGUUGCGAUCCCGGGCGCCUGGCGGCCCAUGGCAAGGCCCAUCCGAGGGCGCCAGGCUGAUAGCCACUACAAGAAAUAUGUCAACUUGUGACUACCACUAUUGGUCACUGAAUGAUCACUGUUUUCAAUUUGUGACCUUUUUGUGACAAAAAACAUAAGGUCAAAAGCUGUCCGUCGUUAACUGACUAUAGCGACCUUUCUUCUGGAAUGGUCGUAGACGUUUAUGACCAAAAUAUGUUCGUUGUGGCAUUUUGGUCACUAGCAACCUCCCCAGGCCACGUAGGCAUCCAGCGUGGCAACCUGAUGUGGCACAAGAUUCAGCCCGGUCCAAUUCGGUUUUCUACAUGGGCCUAGCCCAACAAUUCGGCCUUUUUACUGUAUAUUUUUCUGUUAAUUUUCUCUAGCUGGAUGGGCCUGGCCCAACAAUUUGGCCUUUUAUUUUCUAGGGCAUGGCCUUUUGCAAAUCAUUUCAAUAAGCCUAUUUUUCUGGUUUUUAGAAAUGCACAAUAUUUUGAUCCGCUAUAGUUUGGGCCGCAACCUUUUUAGAGCCCAUUUGGUCUAUUUCAUUCACAGAUUUAAAUUGACACACUUGAACAGCAAAAAAUCAAUAAAUAUCUCAAUUAACUGAUUAAAUCCAGAAAUCAUCCAACCAAAUACUCACAAGAGAACAUACACGUCUACAGGUCCAACAAAUGCACAUACAAUCAAAAACAGAGAUACACCAGCACUACUGAUGUUGUUCAUCUUCAAGCAACUUAAACAAGUGCACAUAAAAUUAAACAGGUACAUCAGCAGAGAUAUGUCAACGAAAACUGUGGCACGCAUCUCCAAGCUUCUCCAUCUUCUGUCAUAGCAGCAGCAUCCCCGACGACAUUAGAUCCUGAUCUAGAUAAACAAUUAGUGAAAUACAGUAGAAGGAAAUAAUAAUCUUUCAAGAGACCAAAUGCCCCAUUUCAGUAAACACUAAGCAUGGCAUAACAAAACUUCCAACAACUUGAAUGCAACAGAUUAACCUGAUGUUGUUCUACAAUAGUAAUCUAUACAUACCUGCAUGGUACAUUGGUACAAAUUUAGGUAAUGAAAUGAACAUCACUAUAACACUCACCAAAAGAAAAUUCCUAUUCUACUACCACGACCAUCCAUUCAACUAACAAUACUAGUAAGUGCACAGAGACUAACAUCAUAAGGCAGCAGACAAUUAUGAAAAUUUUGGUAAGUUGGACAAAUUGUUUAAUCAGUUUUGGUAUACUUAGGUUCUGAGCCAAAAUAGACCAAGCAAAAAAAGUAGUAACUAGUGAUGCAUGAGCAUGUAUAUGGUACAAAAUUGAGCAUAUUAACUUUAAUAUUAAUUUGGGUCUUCCAACUUUACUGCUCAUACAUACAUAUACAGAAUUGAGCAUGAAUCAUCGGUCUUAGUUGUAUAUGAGAGUAGUUGGGUUCUGUAUUCUAAGCUCCAAGUAGGUUACAGAAGAAACUGAAGAUGAACCAUAUAUAAGAGACUAAAAAAUCAAAUAGAAACCCAAAAAUUAAAUACGAGUAUAACUGGAAGGAUUACAACAGGUUCAAUUCAAUCAAUUUCCAAAGCAUUGAAUCAGUAGCAUAAGCAUGCAACACCAACAUAAGCAUUUAAUCAACAGCAGCGUGAGCAUAAGCAUUAAAUCAGCAGCAGCAACACAAGCAGCACCACCACCAGCACAAGUGCACACCUAUUCAAGCUAGUAGCAGCCUAGCAGGCUAGCAGCAGAAGCAUUCAAACAACUAAAGAAGCACAGUACAGCAGGAAAAGCAUUGAAAGAGCAGUAGGCUUGGAGUGUCAGAUGUCAUAUCUUAUAAACUUAGGCAAGUGUUCUCAGGUUAUUCUUUACAUCAUGCACUAACUUGGGUAAUUAACAUCAAACAAUACAUACCAGUACAAGGCUAGGCAAGAUAAUAAAGACUUGGGAAAAGAUACCAGAGUUAGAAAAAAUGAUAUGUGCCCUUAAAGAGAGGGCAGUGUCAAGUGCGGCCACAGACAUAGGCAUUAGCUGCACCCACGACCCCUAGACACUCUCACAACCGAAGAGGAGGUGCCUUGCAUACGGUCUCCUUCGAGUCUGCGAGAGAAAGAAUGAGGUGAAGGUUAGUACACAUCAAGGAUGCUACUAUUCUGGGUCAAGCUAAGUCGAGGGCAUAAGAGAUUUUAGUCAACAAAAAUUAACAUGUGAACAUCUUGCACAAACUAUCAUCAUUUAUAAAAAAAUACAAAACAAAUAUGCAAACAACUGUAGCUCAUACUUAUAUUAUAUCAGGCAAUAUCAUUUAGCAUAUUCCAAUAUGUACUCAACAUGUUCCAAUAAGACAGAAAUGCACACACAUGGAUUCGCAAUUAGACUAUGCCUCUCUCUCACUCAUUUGCAAGAAACGUUCUCUUCCCUCUCUCUACUGAUGACCAUCAACACAAUUCUGUAGAGUUGUAAACAGAUUUUUGAGAGAAUAGACAGUCAAUUUGUGUGCUAAUUGGACCUAGUUUUAAAGAAACAAAAAGGAUUGGCAGCAUAGGGAGAGGGAGAUGGAGAUGGAUGUGCUACCUGCUGUUGCGGUGGUGCGUCGUGGUGGCCUGCUUGAGCUCCUCCUCCUAAUGCUGCUCACUAACCUGCAGGACAAACAAGGCCAUAGGUGAGCCGCAGCAAAGGCAUUUCUUGAUGAUUUACGGAGUUCAUGGCCACCUACAGAAAUAUUAGAGGGACAUGAUAAGGAGCUGUAAAAUACAAAGAGCCGCCUAGACUUAUACUGAAUAGUAAUGCAUAUAUUCAGGAAUAUGAAGUUCACCAAUUGUUCCAAAAAAAAGGAAAAAAUACUUGUUGAUGUUUCAAGUACAGCAGAAUAUAUGCAAGUCCCAAGCAUCCAGAUGACUAUUGUAGUCGAUUGAUAGCAGUAAAUUUAUCAACACCAAACACUGCUUGACAAUUGAGGUAAUUAAACAUUAAAGAACUUAUUACAUAUGCUUUUCGUCAUCCAACGUGAUAACAUGUUAUUGCUAUGCUAUGUGAUUAAAAGAGUAAGAUUUCAUCAAGCCUAUGUCAUGCAUAACAGGAACAUAUUAUAAAAUACAGAAUAGUAGUUCAGUGCCUUCAAGUGUUGAAUGACUCAUGGUACAGUAAUAAUCACAAUAAACUGUUAGUACAUGUGUGUCUAGUUGCAAGGUGUCUAUAAUUAGACACAUCAUCAUCACAGUAGGAGUAAUAUAGUGUAGACACAUACCAUGAGAGGAUUGUUCCUUCCAUUAUGACAACAACAUUGCUGCUGCUGCUGAUAGACACCUCGUUGUUGCUGCCGUUGUGUCCGCGAGCAUCAGGCACCUUGCAACAUUAUGACAACAACAUUGGCUUGGACUUGUCAAAUAUACAGAGGGAAAGGGACCUUCUCCAGGGUUGAGUCCAUGGGCAUCAGGCAAUGGAAUGGAAGUAGAUGAAAUCGAGAGGGGGGUCGAACCUUGCUGCUGCUGCCGUUGUGCCCUUGACGCUGGAGCUGGCUCCAUGGACAGCUGCUGGAGCUGGAGUAUGGGGGUGACCUUGUUGAAAGAAAUAUUCUCCUCCUGCACAAGUUGACAACAGCAACAACUUGAGAAACCAAGAUUGAAGAUUGAACACCAACUUGAAAGCAAGACCAAUUUUCUAUCUGGAUCAACAAGUGGUAAUCGGGAGCCUUGCUCCAGGAGGAAAUUAAAGAGAAGGGAGUAGAGGAGGUAGCCCUGCCUGCGUCUGCCUUGGAGGAAGAAUCACAAUGAGGAAGUUGCUCUCCUUGAGCUUGCUUGAUGGGGAUGAGGGUUUGCAAGGGCCUCGUCAGCGAGACAUCUCCUCGUCGCUGAGCCGCAUCAGAUCCGCAUGGAGGAAGGCGGCAUCGACCAUGGAGGAGCCGUCACCGGAGCCCGCGAGGUCGAUGGGCUGCCCGACGAAGACCCGCCGACGUCGAGUGAGGUUCGUUUCCCCCGCCAGCGCCGUUCAAAGACACCAUCGCCGGAGUGGUGGUGUGGAUCUGACCUCUCGGACGCCAUCGCCUAUAGGUUGGAGGCAAGGCUAGGGGAGUGUAGGAAGAGGCGCGGUAGCGACGGGAUCCUCCCGGACAAGGGAGAUAUGGUGGUGCGGCGGUAGCAAAGGGGAGCAUAGCGACCGGUGGGUGCGGCGGUGGCGGGUGGGGGAGUCGCAGGAGAGGAGGAGAAGAGACAGAGUGAGUGAGAAUGGGCUUGGGGAGGGAGGUGGCAGCGGCGAUCUGUAAGGGAAGGAAGCGACGAGUGGAUGGGGAGGGAGGUGGCGGCGGCGAUCUUCAUGGACAGGAACUGCAUGCGUGCGGCCAUGCCCAUGCGUGCGGCGAGCGCGGGGCGCAGGGCGGCGAAGCGAGAGGCAAGGUUGGAGAGGUAGUGCUGGAGGAAGGAGGAGGCGGCGGUGAGGGCGGGUGGGAGGCGGGGAGGGGGAGGGGAAGAACGUGCGGCGACGGCGUUGACCUGAAUCGGGGGAGAGGAUGAGAGGGGAUCGAUGGGAGUUAGGGUUUGGGGUUGUUGGGCUGUGGGUGGGGUUCUUUUCUCCUUUUUUUCUUGUAGAUGAAUGGGAUGGAUGGAUGGAUGUGGGAUGGAGAGAUGGAUGGAUGGAUGGGCGCCAUGUCAUCGAUCUGUGGGAAUGCUUCUGACUGGUUCGGAAAACCAAUGAUUUAAAAGAGUUUCCAAGUACUAAAACUAGAGGGAUUUUGUGAAGUAGCUAUCAAAAAUACUUUUCAAAAGGGUACCACAUAAAUUUUCACUAGAGUUAGACCACAUUUUAUGGAUAGGACCAAUUUGUAGGCAUUUAUGAUCUUUCUAGCUAUUUUUAAUCAUUUUUGGAGUGCCAAUAAUCGGUUUUUUUUUGUGAAUGACCUAGAAAAUAGUUGUUGCCAAAUUGGACCAAAUACAUCUUCUAAAAUACCAGGCCAUAUAUAAUGCACAAUUGACAAAAUGGUUGGUUGUCAAGUGUUUUUAUGCACCUCUAGUGAAAAAGACAAAUUUCGGCUUAUUCAGUUGGAAGCGGGUCAAAUUUGAACUGCAGCUGCCUCUUAUUUUGCUCUUUAUUUUUUCUAAAAAUCAUUUCUAGGUACAUAAGUAUCUAUUUAAUCAGAGAAACAUCAAAAGUUUUCCAAGAUUCAACCACUAGCUAGGAACGAUCAAGCCCGCCGUUUUAACCGCAUUUUGAAACGGGCAUAAAAAAUUCAAAAAAAAAUCAAAAAAUUAGAAAACCUUCGCAUUAUGUCAUUAUAUAUGACCAAGUUUCCAGGAAAAAUAAUAAACUUGUAAUACGGAAAUUAUUUUAAAAAAGUGUUCUCAAAAAUGCGCUAUCAUGCGUGAAGAUUCAUGGCUUUCAAGCCAAAUGAUCAAUCUUAUGGCCACAUUCAUGGAAUAGUUUGUUCAAAUGAUCUCAUAUUGUGCACAAGGGUGCAUCUUAGAAUUCCAAACAAUGUUGCUUUGGGGAGUUUUCACUUUCAAUGCACAAAAGAGCCAUUUUCCAUUUUUCGAGUGCCCCAAAUGAGGUUUUUUUAAGAACCUACCAAAUAAUUAUUGCAAAAUUGGACAAAAUCAAUUUUAUAAAAUACUAGGCCAUAUUUAAUGCACAAUUGAUCAAAUGGUUGGUGUAAAAAGUUUUGAACCACCUCUGGUGAAAAAGACAAAUUUUCGCUGAUUCAGUUGGAAGCGGGUCAAAUUUGAACUGCAGGUGCCUCAUAGUUUGCUCUUUAUUUUUCCAAAAAUCAUUUCUAGGUACAUAAGUAUCUCUUUACUCAGAGAAACAUCAAAAGUUUUCCAAAAUUCAACCACUAGCUAGGAACGGUCAAGCCCGCCGUUUUGACCGCAUUUUGAAACGGGCAUAAAAAAUUCAAAAAAAAAACAAAAAAAAUUGGAAGACCAAGUUUCCAGGAAAAAUAAUAAACUUGUAAUACGGAUAUUAUUUUAAAAAAGUGUUCUCAGAAAUGAGCUAUCAUGCGUGAAGAUUCAUGGCUUUCAAGCCAACUGAUCAAUCUUAUGGCCACAUUCAUGGCAUAGGUUGUUCAAAUGAUCUCAUAUUGUGCACAAGGGUGCGUCUUGGAAUGACAAACAAUGUUGGCAAAGGAAGUUUUCAUUUUCUGUGCACGGAAAAUUCAUUUUCCAUUUUCUGAGUGCCUGAAAUGAGUUUUUUUUGUGAAGGACCAACCAUAUAUUUGUUGCAAAAUUGGACCAAAUCAAUUUUAUAAAAUACUAGGCCAUAUUUAAUGCACAAUUGACAAAAUGGUUGGGUGUCAAAAGUUUUGAUCAACCUCUGGUGAAAAAGAAAAAUUUCCGCCGAUUCAGCUGGAAGCGUGUCAAAUUUGAACUGCAUCUGCCUCAUAGUUUGCUCUUUAUUUUUUUAAAUAUCAUUUCUAGGUACAUAAGUAUCUAUUUAAUCAGAUAAACAUCAAAAGUUUUCCAAGAUUCAACCACUAGCUAGGAACGGUCAAGGCCGCCGUUUUGACCGCAUUUUGAAACGGGCAUAAAAAAUUCUAAAAAAAUCAAAAAAUUGGAAAACCUUCGCAUUGUGUCAUUAUAUAUGACCAAGUUUCCAGGAAAAAUAAUAAACUUGUAAUACAGAUAUUAUUUUAAAAAAGUGUUCGUAGAAAUGAGCUAUCAUGCGUGAAUAUUCAUGGAUUUCAAGCCAAAUGAUCAAUCUUAUGGCCACAUUCAUGGCUUAGUUUGUUUAAAUGAUCUCAUAUUGUGCACAAGGGUGCAUCUUGGAAUGGCAAACAAUGUUGCCUAAGGAAGUUUUCAUUUUCUGUGCACGAAAAAUUCAUUUUCCAUUUUCUGAGUGUCUGAAAUGAGUUUUUUGUUGAAGGACCUACCAUAUAUUUGUUGCAAAAUUGGACCAAAUCAAUUUUAUAAAAUACUAGGCCAUAUUUAAUGCAUAAUUGACAAAAUGGUUGGGUGUCAAAAGUUUUGAUCCACCUCUGGUGAAAAAGACAAAUUCCCGCUGAUUCAGUAGGAAGCGGGUCAAAUUUGAACUGAAGCUGCCUCAUAGUUUGCUAUUUAUUUUUUCCAAAAAUCAUUUAUAGUUACAUAAGUACCUAUUUAAUCAUAAAUACAUGGUUUGGUGGAGAUACGUCGAGGUUUGGACGGUGGUCGAGGGCCCCAACUCUAGAGCGCGUAAACUCGCAUGCCCGCCGCGUGGUCACCGCGUGAGUGUGGUGUUGCCAUGUGUUCUGGGCGGCCUUGGCAUGUCUAGUGGGUUGGGCACUCCCCAGGUAGGUGCAAGGAAUAAAAUCACAACAUAAGAUUCUCACGAGGAGACUGAUCGAUGCUCAAACAUGAAUAAGCAGCCAAGUGUUUGAUUAGCGGUACGGGAAAUGCACAUGGCUAAUGGGUGUGAGUUUUGGCUGACGAUGAUCAGUUACUAAGAAGACCGUCUUCACAAAUUUUUAGCUCAAAAGGAGGAGCGUAGGUGGUACUUGCUUUGCAAAGUACCACACUGGACAUAAAUACGAAUGUUAACGCUGGGCUCAAAAUAAUGAAUGGAUUGAGCUGGCAUUUGGUGGAGGAUGGUUAUUUGGGCAUAGGAAAGCACUGUAGAAAAUGGAUACCAUUUGGACAUGCCAAAGUGGUACUUCCUUCACAAAGUGCCGCUCUGAACAGAAUAGGAAAAUGAAUACUGUUGAGUUAUUUUUGAACUAGGCAAGGAAUGUUUUUGACAUAUUUGAUGACGAUAUGAUCCAAACAAUUUAUGAGAAUUUUUUGGGAAUUUUUGGAAUAAAAGAAAUAUAGGUUGCUUCACAACCUAGGGCAAAAAUUGACACAUGAACAUGACACAUAGGCAAAACUGAUGAGAUGGCGCCUAGUCAUCACAACCCACCACAGUCUACAAGGCUAUGACCAUCUAUAUUGGUCGUUAACAACUAAAAAUAAGGCAGCGGACCAGCACUGUUUGCUUUAUGACCAUUUCGUGUAAGGAAAUUACGACCUUUCUGACCAAAAUGGUCGCAAUGGUUUAGGGUUUGGAGCCCCCCGAACAGCUUUUGACCAAUUGGUCUCAAAUGGUCAUAGAUCUAUGACCAAUUCUUUCAGGGUCACUGACAGAAGGUCACUAGUUGACAUAUUUCUUGUAGUGAGCGCUGGGCUAGCAAGCCCAUGGACCAGGCACCGGUGCAGCCGUGGCAGGGCAGCGCGGUGCUUGUUCGCUGGAGAGAUCAAGGAACGGAGGAAUCGUGCAUAGUGAGAUUUGUUUGAAGAAAAGAGACCGAGUCCUAGAAGGAUUAAGCGUCCUCAUGUUUGAGCCAGAGAUGUGCAGCAACAAGGCAGCUCCUUUGUGUAACACGUCUGUUGGAAUAGGCUAAGGGAUUGACAUCAAUUGCUAGCAUCGAGAGUUCAGCUAAGACAUGAGCUACGUCAUGUGAAGACCAAAUAGUUGAAUCGCUAGUAGUAUGCGGAGGUUCCGUUCGUGUACUUGAGGAUCAUGGGAAGACCGCUCAGUUAGUUUUUCACAGGGUCAGUCAUACAAAGAACCAUGGCGUCAACGGAUACUAGGUUUGAGGUGGAGAUGUUCAACGGAACUGGAAACCUUGGGUUAUGGCAGACAAGGAUGAAAAAUUUGUUGGCACAACAAGGAUGCCUGAAGGCGUCGGGGGUGUCAAGCCAGUUAAAAUGGACGAUGAUGGUUGUGAGGAGUGGCAGAUGGUUGCAAUCAGGAAAGUUCGGCUCAGGUCAGACACAUAGGGCAGUUGGCCUGGACAGUCUGACGGAUCGACACAAGUCGGUUGGUACAGAAGACGGUGGUGAUAUCAGCGACGACGACUAAGGAGCGUGAUGCUGAUUGUGACCAACUUCUGGGCGUGAAAACACGUGGCAUAGGCCCGAGGGUUUGUGUGGCUUCGACAAGACUAUGGCGCGGGGUUGCUUCAAGACGGUGCACAUGAGAGCUUGGAGUCGACGAGGCGCGGGGUGGCAAGUACAACCACCAUGGAGUCAUGUUGAAGGUGGAGCUGGAUUGAGGGGCUACGAUGUAAGGAUCCAGAGAAUCGAACCUUAUUCAGUAAGGGGGAAAAGCGAGUGACAUGCAGUUUGGACUGGAGCCCAAUGGUCUGAUGGAAGCGUGAAACUCGUCAUCGGUCGGUGAUGAUCGGUGGUACUCUGCAGUGGGGGUUGAGUCGUGUGGGUUCACGACCCUUGAGACUCGACCGGGACAGCGGAGGCUCGGCGCAGUAAUAGCGCCGAGGUGUGCACUAUGCACAGGGAGAUGGAGACGGGACAUGGCUCUGGUGGUCAUACAUAUGGUGAGGCAGCUGUGAAUUUGAUUCGGGAUGACUACAAGCAAUGAUGAAAUUCCUUCAAGUUUCAGACAUAUGGUCAAGAAAGAGUGGAGAUGUGGAGUCGUGUCCUAGUAGGACACUUGUAUCCUAGGCCUCUCAUAUAUAGCGGGGCUAGACACACGAUGUAACCUAUGCCAACAUAAUAGCACGGGAACACAGGGGAAGCCGGCGGCAUGUGCCGGCGUCCAGGGCAACCCGGUGCGGUAUUGUAGCGGUGACAUGGGGAGGAGCGCCCAUAGUCAGGCCCCGGGGAUGUAGCCAUAUUGGUGAACCUCGUUAACAAAUCUCGGUGUCGAGCUCAUGUGAUUGCUUGGUCCUGGGACGAUCGACGGUAUAUCUGAAAUUUAUUCUAACAGCAUUCAAGCUCCAAUGUGUACGCCCCACCAUUCGGGGCCACCACGCUACAUGAAAGGAGCGCUCCCGCACCAGAAAGACAACCACACAAGAAGUUAGCCUCGCCAUUGUCGUUCUCUGGCGUUAGUGGGGGAGGGGGCAAGAAAAGGAGGCGGCAGCGGCUAGGAUUUGCCUGAGCCGUCCCGGCAUCCAAGCUCAGUUGCGUACGCCUCGAUCUCUCCCACAAGAGAGACAACCGCAUGAGAAGGUAGCUCCUCCAUUGCCGUCCUUCGGCAGCAGUGGGAGGAACAUGGAAAGGAGGCGGCGAUAUCUAAGGUUUACCACCAGACCCCCUCUCACCCCCCAAAGCGACCAAUGCGAUAUGUUUGGAACCACCUAAAUCAAGUGAUUCCUGGACAGAAAAUAAUAAUAAUGCAAACUAGUUGAAGGGUCCUCUCCCUCUAGGUUUAUAAUUCGGGUGUAUAUUCCUGGGUUAUAUGUCAUGAAAAAUACACCAUUAGAAACUUCAUCCAAAUACAAAUUCAUCAGUAAAUUUUUUGGUAAAUUAUAACUUGAUGUUCGUUGGUUUAGGUGACGACACGUAGAUAUGGGGAGGCAUCGUAAAAGGGAAAUAACCUUUUUUGCUCGAUGAAAAGGGGUUGUAAUCUCGGGGAACCAAGACUUUGCGCGUGGUACUCGAAAAGAAAGAACAAAAAAGAUUGCGACCAUGAGAGGAAUCUUCUAGUGGAGAGACAAAAGUAGCACCGCGCGCGCUCGGUGGACGUGGUGCGUGAUGCAACUUCAGUAGCCCAACCGCCGUAGUACGCACGCACAUACGGCCGAUGGAUCAUCAGUCAGACAUGGCUAGCUAUUGUUUUCACUGGCAAAAAAGGAAGGAGAAGACGUAACUAAUUUAGCUACUAGUACUACAUACGGAGAAGAAAAAAUAAGAUGAAACAUGCAUCCAUGGCUAGCUGAUGAGCCCCUCCACUCGCAUGCUAGAGCUAGCUAGCCUAGCCCACAUGACGGCCACGCCAGGGGACACUGGUACAAUUGCAUGCAUCGUGGCUGAACUGAUCAAUCUACUCCCUCCGUUUCUAAAUACUUGUCUUUCUAGAGAUUUCAACAAGUGACUACAUACGGUGCAAAAUGAGUGAAUCUACACUUUAAAAUAUGUCUACAUACAUCCGUAUGUUGAGUCCAUUUGAAAUGCCUAGGAAGACAAGUAUUUGAGAACGAAGUGAGUAUUUAGUAGCCACCACACGAUCGACACGGCACGCGCAGCACCGCGCUGAUUGUCAUUUCACAACUAGUUAGUGCCAAUAUAUCUGUUGAUAGCCGGAGCUGCUACAUGCAUGCAUGUCUCGAGCGAGCAUGUGAGCAGCAGCAGUAAUAUACUCCCUCCGUCCGGAAAUACUUGUCAUCAAAAUGGAUUAAAGGCGAUGUAUCUAGACGUAUUUUAGUUCUAGAUACAUCCCUUUUCAUCCAUUUUGAUGACAACUAUUUUCGGACGGAGGGAGUAUAAUCCUAUCGCCAUCCUAUCGCCAUCCUUGCCUACAAAACUACAUAUGCACGCCCGCGCCGGGCCGGCCAUGUCAAUAUAAUUACUCAUCCUUGCCUACAAAACAACGAAGACAAAUUCAGUGUCCUUGUUUCGUACAUCAAGUCGAGUUGACACGUACGCACACUCGCACAGGCACCGGCACCGGCACCCGCGCCGGAAAAAAUGCAUGGCUGGCGCCAUGGAAUUGGCUAAUCCUAGCUACUGCUUUCUUGCCUAGUAAAAUGCAUGUAAAUCAUUGAUGGUUCUACCUAUCUAGCAGUCCUAAUGCAGCUUUGCAGGGAGUUGAGAUCGACUCAUCCUAUAUGGCAUCAAGUUAUGGUAACGUUGUCGGUCGGUCGGCGUUACCACGUACUACACGUUAUGUCGUUAUGGUACUGCUUGUAAGUAGAACGACACCUGAACCAAUGAUAUAACUCGACACUAGGUGCCUUACAUAUUAAGUAGUACUUUUUUUUUUGUUCUACUAGCUAGCUAGAGAGGCGGUCAAAUUUAUUUACUACUCACUCCGUCCGGAAAUACUUGUCAUCAAAAUGAAUAAAAGAGAUGUAUUUAGAUGUAUUUUAGUUCUACAUCCAUCCCUUUUUGUUCAUUUUGAUGACAAGUAUUUUCGGACGGAUGGAGAACAACCUAGUCGGCCCAUUGUCAAACCACUCUCCCAUCAGCGUCGUCAUCUUUUGGCCAAAAAGAAAAGAAACUGCGUCGUCAUCGAUCGAGCACUAAACUAAAUCAACAUUUCAAGCUUGUGGUUGGUCGAUCAAUUUCUUGAUUCUUGUCCAUUUCAACUAUUUAUGAGACGAGAUCGAUGCUGCCCGAUGGUCCCGCUCUUGCCUGCGUAGUGCUGAAGAAGGUGAGCGAAGCUUCUCAUAAUUCAAAUGAUCCAGCCUGAUCGAUGGGCCAUGACUGACGGCGGAGGGCAACGCAUGGUGUACCACGCAUGCACUGUCUUUCCAACAUCGGUCGAGUAGUAUAAUUUGACAGACUGAGAUCCCAAUCAGACAACCUUUCCAUUCCUCACAUUGCAACCACCUACUGACCUACCUAUAAAAUGCAUGCAUGCUAUUCUAUGAAAUGAGAGAAAGGAAAAGGUCGCCAAUGCCGCGGGCAUUAACUAAGGCAACAUUGGCAAGGUUUGGCUGAGGAGGUGGUGGUUCCCGCACACUUGCUCCGAGGGGCGUUGGUAAGAGCAACUUCAAUGGGGCGACCCAUAUAAUCCGCCGUUGUUCGUUUGGGUCGGCGCGGAUAAAAAAGGAGGCCCAACGUGCCUACCCAAACUCAAAUCGUGUCCGUUUUGCAUCUGCGCCGACGCAUUUGCGGCCCAAAUUUGCACCCUAAAUGCAUCGGCGUGGACGCGGAACGGACGCCACACGCGCCUUCUCGUUGUCCGCCGCGUCCUCACCUGGCUGUCAUCCAACUGCCCACGGCCAACCUGGUCAGCUUAUUUAUGACCUCGAACCCACGCGUCAGCAACGACGGUCGUCCUUUUUUAAACCGACCGUGCUGCGGCACCGUCCUCAUCCACUUCCCAGUCCACAUCUAGCCCGCUCUGCUUCCCCGUCGCUGGCAAACCCUAGCCACCACCACCACAACGAGAUGUGGCUCUUCUCCGGCUCCAGCAGCAGCAAGGCCAAGGGCAAGGCCCCCGCCAUCCGUUCCCCGCGGAGUUCCUCCCGCCUCCGUCGGCGCCGGCAGAGGCAGCACAUGAACGUGCCCGUGCACCAGGCGGAGUGGCACUGGCAGCACCGCGUGCCUCUGUCGUUAAUACAAGUCACUUUGUUAGGGCUUGAUCCCUAGUAUCAUGCAAUUGAAUCAAUUUGUUAGGGCUUGAUCCCUAGUAUCCACUAUGUUUUGAGAUUGAUGUUGCUAUGAAUUUACUAUGCUUAAUGCUUGUCACUAGGGCUCGAGUACCAUGAAUUCAUAUCUGAACCCUCUAUGUUUCUAUGAAUAUACUUGAGUUCUUGAUCCGAUCUUGCAAGUUGUAUGCACCUAUUACAUGUUGUGAUCCGCAUACUCCAAGGUGACAAUAAUUGGGAUUCUUUCCGAUGAUUACCAUAGUUUGAGGAGCUCAUGUAUUCACUAUGUGCUAAUGUUUUGUUCUGCUUCUCUAUUAAACGGAGGCCUUAAUAUCUCUUAGAUUUCCUUAUGGACCCCACUGCCACUGGAGGGUAGGACAAAAGGUGUCCUGCAAGUUUUUAUUAUAUGCACAUAUGACUAUAUAUGGAAUACAUGCUUACACUACAUUGAUGAAUAUGAGCUAUUGUGUAUUGCUCUAGGUUGUGACUGUUACAUGAUGAAUAUCAGCCAACACAAUUAUUCAUCACUGAUCCAGUGCCUACACAUUUCUCAUAUUGAUUAUUGCUAAGUUACUAUUGCUGCUGCUGCUGUUACAAUUACUAGAAAACUGCUACUGUUACCAUUACCGUUACUAUUACUACUGUUACCACUACUAUGAAUCUAUAAUACUAUUGUGCUACUGGUCAUUUUGCUACAGAUAUAUAGUUCUCUAGGUGUGGUUGAAUUGACAACUCAACUGCUAAUACUCCCUCCAUUCCCUUAUACAAGGCCACAAACUCAUGUUACAGGUACCAAGACAAAAUUUAAUGACUCCCUUUGCAAGUUAACUUUUCUUUUCGUUAACCGAGUGUUGGGGAACGUUGCAUAAAAUAAAAAAUUUCUUACGUUCACCAAGAUCAAUCUAGGAGUUCGUCCAGCAACGAGAGAGAGGAGUGCAUCUACAUACCCUUGUAGAUCGCGAGCGGAAGCAUUCAAGAGAACGGGGUUGAGGGAGUCGUACUCGUCGUGAUCCAAAUCACCGGAGAUCCUAGCGCCGAACGGACGGCACCUCCGCGUUCAACACAUGUACGGUCAACGUGACGUCUCCUCCUUCUUGAUCCAGCAAGGGAAAAGGAGAGGUUGAUGAAGAUCCAGCAGCACGACGGCGUGGUGGUGGAUGCAGCAGGGAUCCGGCAGGGCUUCGCCAAGUGUCUGCGGGAGGGAGAGGUGUAGCAAGGGGGAAGGGAGGCGCCAAGUGCAAGGGUGCGGUUGCCCUCCCUCCCCCCUCUUUAUAUAGGGUCCCCAGGGAGGGGCGCCAGCCCUAGGAGAUGGGAUCUCCUAGGGGGGGGGGGCGGCCAAGGGGGGAGCCUUGCCCCCCAAGGCAAGUGGAGGCGCCCCCUCCCCUGGGGUUCCCAACCCUAGGUGCAGGGGAGGCCCAAGGGGGGCGCACCAGCCCACCAGGGGCUGGUUCCCCUCCCACUUCAGCCCAUGGGGCCCUGCGGGAUAGGUGGCCCCACCCGGUGGACCCCCGGGACCCUUCCGGUGGUCCCGGUACAAUACCGGUGACCCCCGAAACUUUCCCGAUGGCCGAAACAGCACUUCCUAUAUAUAAUUCUUCACCUCCGGACCAUUCCGGAACUCCUCGUGACGUCCAGGAUCUCAUCCAGGACUCCGAACAACUUUCGGGUUACUGCAUAUUCAUAUCUCUACAACCCUAGCGUCACUGUCGGUGUCAAAACCGGCGGAUCUCGGGUAAGGGGUCCCGAACUGUGCGUCUAGGCGGAUGGUAACAGGAGACAAGGGACAUGAUGUUUUACCCAGAUUCGGGCCCUCUUGAUGGAGGUAAAACCCUACGUCCUGCUUGAUUAAUAUUGAUGAUGUGUAUUACAAGAGUGGAUCUACCACGAAAUCAAGGAGGCUAAACCCUAGAAGCUAGCCUAUGGUAUGAUUGUUGUAAUGGAGGUUGUGUCCUACGGACUAAAGCCCUCCGGUUUAUAUAGACACCGGAGAGGGCUAGGGUUACACAGAGUCGGUUACAAUGGUAGGAGAUCUACAUAUCUGUAUUGCCAAGCUUGCCUUCCACGCCAAGGAAAGUCCCAUCCGGACACGAGACGGAGUCUUCAAUCUUGUAUCUUCAUAGUCUUGGAGUCCGGCGGACGAUGAUAGUCCGGCUGUCCGGACACCCCCUAGUCCAGGACUCCCUUAGUAUCCCCUGAACCUGGCUUCAAUGACGAUGAGUCCGGCGUGCAUAAUGUUUGGCAUUGUAAGGCGGGUUCCUCCUCCAAAUAAUCCAUAGAAGAUUGUGAACACCAAGAUAGUGCCCGGCUCUGCAAAAUAAAUUCCACAUUCCACCGUAGAGAGAAUAAAAUGUACACAAGUUCAAUCUGCUGACGUACUCCGUGGCAUGACGUCACGCCACUACCAAGCCUUUACUUGAAUCGUUUUUGUUUAUACCACCUCAGCGCGUUUAGCGAAGCGGUUUCCUUGGCACGUCUUGUCGAAGCAGAGAUCGUGUUCCCCUUAUUCCGGGAUUCUCAUCAAUACGGACGUGGGUAACCCAACCGCGCCAUUGAUGGUGGCGCUUGGGAGAUAAGCGAGUUUUACCAGGCUAGUGGGGACGCAUAGUCUUCGUCCGCCUAUAUAUAAGGGAUAAGGAUUCACCUUUUCACCUACGCCUUCUUCCUCCUUUUCUUAUCCAUCUCCGCGCACUCGAGCUCCAGCGCCCAAGUUCGCGCAUCUCGUCUCAACCUUCUCCGACUAUGUCCGGAGAGGGAGGCAAGUGGUUGGCCUCCACCGUUAAGGAGGAGCACAUCACAAAGCUGCGCAGCGCCGGAUACCUUUCCGGCGACAUCGCGCACCGGCUGCCCGACGAGGGGCAGCUCAUCCCCACCCCCAGGCCCCAUGAGAGGGUCGUUUUCCUUCCUUACUUCCUCCGCGGACUGGGCUUUCCACUUCACCCCUUUGUCCGGGGGCUCAUGUUCUACUACGGCCUGGAUUUCCAUGAUCUGGCACCGAACUUCAUCCUCAACAUCUCGGCGUUUAUCGUCGUGUGCAAGGCCUUCCUCUGCAUCCAGCCCCACUUCGGCUUGUGGCCCAAGACCUUCAAUGUCAAGCCGAAGGUAGUGAAGGGCACUCAAGCGGAGUGCGGAGGCGCCAUGUUGGGCAAGAUGCCAACGUCCUUUGGUUCGAAGGGGCCUUCGUGGAAUCCGUCAAGGGGUGGCAGUCGGGGUGGUUCUAUAUCACCGAGCCGCGCGACCCUACGUGGGCGGCGGCCCCCGAGUUCAGAUCUGGUAUCCCUACGCAUCUCACCUCCUGGAAAGAGAAGGGCUUGCUAUGGGGUAAUUCAAAGGAGCUGACGGGACUCCAAGCCUGUAUCCAGAAGCUGGUGAACAAGAAGCUCAAGCUUGUUAACGUGGUCCAAGUCAUGCUCGUCCGCCGGAUUCUCCCAUGCCAAGAACGAGCAUUCAAUCUGUGGGAGUUUGAUCCGGAACAGCACCAGGCGCUGAGCGGGCUCUUCGACACGACGUACGAAGACGCAUGGAGGGUGCUGUUUAAGGGCGCCGAAGCCCCCGCAUCCGCGACGGAAGAUCGCGGAUUUCACUCGCAGCAUCCAGCUGACGAGGUAAGUGAUUCUACCCCUUUACGGGACACUUGUUGUUAAUAGUUUGAUUCUGAGCGGGUUUCAAUCUCCCUUUUCCUUUGACAGGACUGGAUGAAGAAGGCGGAGCACCUCGUCUGCCCGGCUCCCAUGCCAGAAAACCCAGUAGACGCCCGUCUAGCGGGGCUGCUGGUUCCGACACCGCAUGUGGUGCCAGAGAAGAAGGCCAAGAAGGUGGCCACAGGUACUCGAAAGAGUUCCCGUUUUCAGGUCUCCGAUGACUCCGAGGCGGACUCCUCCCCCGAAGAUGAGUAGGAGGAAGAAGACUCUCUCCCAGAGGAGGGAGAGAGGAAGAGGAAGGCUUCCCCAACAGGGGAGGCCGAAGGGUCCAAGAGGGGGAGAACUAUUCCCCCGGACAGCUCUGCCAACACCAAAAUUUGGCGGCGAAGAGUGGCCUUCAAGGGCCAGACCUCCGGCGAGAUCGUAAGUAUCCGGAUUCCUGAACGAUUUAUAAUUUCUCUUUUGUGUCACAUAGUGUCCUUCUAAUGCCGCAUACUGCCUGCAGUCCGGCCGAUGAUGAUCUCCCCGCUUCAUCAAGCGGGUCGUUGGCUCAGUCGGAUGUGGAUUCCAUCCCGACUGCCUCCACCCCUCGCGCCGCUGAGGACGCCGAGGUGGGAUCCCAAGAAGGGACCCAUCAGGAGGAGGCUCCGGAGGCGCCGCAAGGCAGCUUCCCGGACUUUGCGCUGGACUCCACACCGGAACCCGCAGUGGUUCCGGAGUCCGACAGGCGGCCCCUUUGCAAGAAGGGAAAGACCGUGACACCGGCGGCCUCCGCCCAAUCGGAGGCGCCGGACAACUUGCUGGAGGCACUCCAAGGCGCUUCCAUUGAGGAAGAACACCGCACUGUUGUGAGUGCGGUGAUUCAGAAGGCUCAGCUCGCCAAGAGCGGGCUGACCGAAGCCUGCAGUAGCCUUCUAACAGGCUUUGAGGUAAGAAGUUAAAAUUAUGUAAUGUAAUACCGCAUAGACAGUAGCCCCUGAUGCUCAGUUCGGUGUUUGGAAAGAAAAGCCGGACUGAGGAUCUAAAAAGAUAUACGCAGGGUUGCUAAAAAGUAUGUCAAUAUGGGUUUGCAGGCAGCACUGCUGACCUCUGCCGCACUGACUGCGGAGGUCGAUGCAUUGAAGCAGGAUCUCGAGUGGUCCGAGCAAGAGCUCGGCCGUUCCAAGAAGCAGCUCGAGGACAAAGAAGGUGAGUAACACCACUUUGAAUCGUUACCUUACAGAAAAGGAUUUAGGUUGCAAAAAAUAACAAGGAUAACAUGGGCACUACAGGGGCCACGAACGAGGUGGCAGCCCUGAAGGAGGCUGUGUCCGUGGCCGAACGCAAUGCGGCCGCGGGCAGAGCGAGAAAAGCAGGAGGCGCGGGUGGAGGAGGUGCGGCAAGAGCUCCAGGCUCUCAUGGAGAAGCAUGAGAGUUUGGAGCGCGACUCAAAGACUCGAGAGUCCGAGCUCGCCUUGGCUCUCGAAAGUGCCAAGUCCGCCAAGGCCGAGGCCCGUAAGGCCCUUCAGGAGGUUGAAGAUGUGAAGAAAAUAGCGGCGGGUAAGGCAUUUUUCAUGCAAAGCAAGCAUGUUAAUGUAAACUACCUGACACUUACCCGAAUUCGGAGCUCUCCAGGGGCGUUUGCAGAUCUACCUCGCAGUGUAUCCAAUGCUGCUGCAUUCUACCGUGGUGAGGAGGGGAGCUCAACGGAGAAGGUCUUCUGGUCUCAGUACGCUGAGGCCGGCCAUCCGGUGCCCCCUAGCGACCAGCUGAAGCAGCUGGUCGAGCUCCACAAGGUAGCUGAGGAGGCCAUGAAGGGCCUCAUAGUCCAGCUGUGGCCUGGAGAGGCCAUGCCUGGGAGCUACUUCAGCCUCGUGCGGCGGCUGGUGGAUGCGUGCCCCUGGGUGGAGGUCAUCAAGCGCUCCGCCUGUAUUGAAGGUGCUCGGCGGGCCCUUGCCCGCGCAAAGGUGCACUGGGGCAAGCUGGAUGCGGAGAAGCUCAUCACUGACGCGCCGCCAGCGGGCAAGGAGUAUCGUACGCCCGAGAUGUACUAUAAGACUGUCCUGAAGGGUGCCCGCAAGAUUGCGGAUGAGUGCCCCAAAGAUGUAAUUAUUGAGUAAACUCUCUAUGUAUUAUCCUGUGCGCUGAAAACUUUGUUCAUAUGCGUGAAACAACGCUUGUUUGAUUUAAAAUAUUACCUUCUGUGCGGCCGUUUAUAAAAUCUGAGAGAUGGCAAGUCGUCGGCUUCAGCCCCCAAGCCACGAGUGCUGGGGUGUUCGGGAUAAACUUGAGCACUCUUGUUCCCAUUUUUGGGUCCAUCUAGGGAGGCGCUCAACACAAUGAAUAAGGCAACCGGACUUAUAAUGCUUGAACACUCUCACUUAGCCAUAGAAUUCUAUAAUUUUAAAUUUCGGCGAAGCCCCUAGUAUUCGGAAGACCGAAUUCGGGGCGCUAUCCACGCCUUCGUCGGACAUUAUCCGGUACUUCGCUCGAAGUGGCAUAAGUCUUUAGGGACCCGAAAAGACCUCUCGAACAGCGACCAGUCUCUCGCCUUAUCAUGCCAGUCAGUUUUAGCUUCCCCCACUGAGGCGCUCGCCCAGCUCAACCGGGGCGCAAUCGCAGUGGUUCUCCUAGUGCCACCUUAACCGACAGAACGGAACGUAAGGCACCAAAACGUGGGAGCAGGGCAAACCCAACUAUUGACCCAAGACAUGAUUCGGAGCUGAUUCAUAUAAUGCUAUAAGUUCAGGGUGCCGCACUUGUGAAAGUGUUCGGACUUAUCACACCAUAAUGUGGGGAACAUAAGCCCCUGGUGUAUUCGGCCGUACCAAAAUAUACGAGUGCAAGAUGUCAUUAGUGGACAUAUAUGUAAAGUAAUGCAAUUACAGACAAAAAGUGAUGCAUUAUUUAUUCAAGGAAUUCUGCUAUGAGUGUGGAAGGAUACAAAUAGUGCGGUAAGCAAGGGAUUGGACUAAAUAAACAUGUCCCCCUCCAGGGGUGGGCUGCGGACUGGUGUAUAUAAUCGAAUUUUAAUGCUCGUAAUGGAGACCACCUGAGUGUUCGUCGCAGCCUUUUUCCCUCCCUGGUGGUUGCAUCAUGAGUUCGGCGGGUUCGCCGCCGGACAGGGCCUCUGAUGAACGGAGUCUUGUGUAUACAAAGAAGGAAAAUAGAAAAAAAAGAGAGACACACUUGUGAGCCCCUGGUGUGGUUGAGCCGCACUCUGGGUCUGUUGUGGUCGUGCCCCUCCCCCGAGACCCAUGGUAUCUCCAGAGCGUAAUGAUGUACGCGGAGGGUUGGUCUUGCAAUCAUGCGAGGGCUGGGGUUGGGGCCGCAUUGCUACGCGUGCUCGGAACAUGCCAGGUGGUCUUGGUUGAUGUUGCUCCGGGCACGUUUGGCCGUGUCCGGCCGUUUAACGGUCUGACUCGAAAAUUGCCUUAGAAGGCUGCUCUGUACUUCUGCCGCGAGAGCCGCUGUAUGUUCCUCCGUUCGGAGGGAGCAUUCCGUAUUUCCGUUGACCGUGAUGACUCCACGAGGGCCUGGCAUCUUGAGCUUGAGGUAUGCGUAAUACGGCACCGCGUUGAACUUUGCAAACGCGGUUCGUCCGAGCAGAGCGUGAUAGCCGCUGCGGAAUGGGACUAUGUCGAAGAUUAACUCCUCGCUCCGGAAAUUGUCUCGGGAUCCGAAGACCACUUCCAGUGUGACUGAGCCUGUACAAUUGGCCUCAACACCUGGUAUGACGCCUUUGAGGGUCGUCUUUGUAGGUUUAAUCCUUGAGGGGUCUAUGCCCAUCUUGCGCACUGUAUCCUGAUAAAGCAGGUUCAGGCUACUGCCGCCGUCCAUCAGGACUCUCAUGAGGUGAAAUCCAUCGACGAUUGGGUCUAAAACCAAUGCGGCGAAUCCGCCAUGGCGGAUGCUGGUCGGAUGGUCUCUUCGAUCGAAAGUGAUCGGGCAAGAGGACCAUGGAUUGAACUUCGGGGCGACUGGCUCCAUCGCAUAUACGUCCCUUAGUGCACACUUCCGCUCCCUCUUGGGUAUAUGGGUUGCGUAUAUCAUGUUCACCGUCCGCACUUGUGGGGGAAAACCCUUCUGUCCUCUACUGUUCGGCGGCAGGGUCUCUUCCUCGUCGUCGCUAUGCAGCCCCUUGUCACUGCUUUCGGCAAUUAAUUUGCCUGCCUGCUUGAAUACCCAACAAUCUCUGUUGGUGUGGUUAGCUGGAUUUUUGGGGGUGCCAUGUAUCUGGCAUGAGCGGUCGAGUAUUCGGUCCAAAUUGGACGGACCCGGAGUUGUUCUUUUAAAUGGCUUCUUCCUCUGACCGGGUUUAGAGCCUCGGAAUCUGGCGUUGACUGUCGUAUCCUCCUUGUCGUCGCCGUUAACGCGGCAUUUAUUUUUGGUUCGACGCGACCUGCCAUUGUGGUCCUUGGUAUCCGGACUGCCAGAAUUUUUACUGAGGUUGUUGCUGCGAGCUAGCGAGCUGUCCUCUCCCGGACAGAAGCGGGUCAUUAGAGAUGUGAGGGCUGCCAUGGAUUUCGGCUUUUCCUGUCCUAGGUGCCGGGCUAGCCACUCGUCGCGGAUGUUAUGUUUGAAGGCUGCGAGGGCCUCUGCAUCCGGACAGUCGACGAUUUGAUUUUUUUUGUUAAGAACCGUGUCCAGAACUGUCUGGCCGAUUCGUCUGGCUGCUGAAUUAUGUGGCUUAGGUCAUCGGCGUCUGGUGGUCGCACAUAUGUGCCCUGGAAGUUGUCGAGGAAUGCGGCUUCCAGGUCUUCCCAACACCCAAUUGACUCCGCGGGCAAGCUGUUAAGCCAAUGCCGAGCUGGUCCUUUUAGCUUGAGUGAGAGAUACUUGAUGGCGUGGAGAUCGUCGCCGCGGGCCAUAUGGAUGUGAAGGAGAUAAUCUUCGAUCCAAACCGCGGGGUCUGUUGUGCCAUCGUAGGAUUCAAUGUUUACGGGUUUAAACCCUUCAUGGAUUUGAUGAUCCAUUACUUCGUCAGUGAAGCAUAGCGGGUGUGCGGCGCCUCUAUAUUGAGCAAUAUCACGACGUAGCUCGAGUGAGCGUUGUCUGCUGUGUUCGGCCCGGCCGGAGUUGUUGUAUCCGGCGCGACGGUAUUCGUCGUGGGUCGUGGGGCGCCCACGUGAUCCGUGGAUGGAUCUGGAUUGCCUUGCUUUGUCCUCCAAUAUAUCUCGCAAGUCCGGCGCGUUCCCUCUUGGCUUCGUACUUUUGGAGCGAUGCCGGGGUACGGUCUUGGUGGAGGGCCUAGAUGCCUCUCUGUUGCGACCACGGGGUGGUCGGUCGGCCGUAUUGUGUGCUGGUGAUGAAGGUAUGUAUGCUUCUUCCUCUAAUCGGGGGAGCAACUUGCUUUUUGGGUAACUCUUGGAGGGACGUUCGAGUUCAUACUCUUCGGCCGCGAGGACCUCAGUCCAUCUGUCGGCCAGCAGGUCUUGAUCAGCUUGAAGCUGCUGCUGCUUUUUCUUUAGGCUAUUUGCCGUGGCGAUAAGCCUGCGUUUAAAACGCUCUUGUUCGACGGGAUCCUCUGGCACGACGAAUUCGUCGUUGUUGAGGCUUGCCUCGUCUCCGGAGGGAGGUAUGUAAUUAUCAUCCUCGACCUCUUCGUCUGCCGCUCUCUCAUGAGGGUUUGCUUCUGCAUCCUCCUGCGCUGAAUCUUGCUGGAGGGGUUUGUCUUCGGCACUUUCUGGGGUGUUGUUAUCUCCUGUGCUGGAAUCUCCAUUCUUGCUAUGGCGGGAUUUAGAGCGGCGCCGCUGACGUCGGCGCUUGGGCUGUUUCUUUAAGGAAUCUUCCUCCGCUGCUUCUUCGCCGUCCCCAUCUUUUGGGGUGUCCACCAUGUAUAUGUCAUAUGACGAGGUGGUCUUCCAGUGCCCUAUAGGCGCUGGCUCUUGUUCGUCUCCGGCAUCGUCGUCCAUACCAUCGAUGUCAUCGGAGUCAUAGUCUAGCAUGCCGGUUAGAUCGUCGACAGUGGCUACAAAGUGGGUGGUUGGUGGGUUUUAGAUUUCUUCGUCGUCCGCAUCCCAACCAUCCUGGCCGUAAUCCGGCCAGGGCUCUCCGGAUGGCGAGAGAUGCUUUAGGGAAUUUAGGAUAUCGCCAAAGGGUGAGUAUUGGAAGAUGUCCGCGGCGGUGAACUCCAUGACCGGCGCCCAAUCAGAUUCGAUUGGCAGGGGCGCGGGAGGUUCAGAGUCCGGCAGGGAGUCCGGCACCUCGGAGUCAUGAGCUUUGCAAGGGACAAGGUUAGUGUUCGGCUCCAUCCCCGUGGAAGUUGCAGCCCCCGAGGCGGUGUCCAGCCACCGGUCCUCGAUCUGCGCGAUUGGCUCCGGACUAAGGGCCAGAGCGGAUUCGUGUGCGGCCACCAAGGCACUGUCCGGCGGCAGAGCUAAAUCAUGCCCAUCGUGACAGCGCGUCGCGCUCGGCUGUGGCUCGAGUCUGUCGAAGAUAAAGUCCCCGCGGAUGUCGGCCGUGAAGUUUACACUUCCGAACCUGACCUGAUGGCCAGGGGCGUAGCUUUCGAUCUGCUCCAGAUGGCCAAGUGAAUUGGCCCGCAGUGCGAAGCCGCCGAAUACGAAGAUCUGUCCGGGGAGAAAAGUCUCACCCUGGACGGCGUUGUUGUUGAUUGGAGGAGCCAUCAAGCCUAUCGGUGACGACACAGAGGAACUCUCAAUGAAAGCACCAAUGUCGGUGUCAAAACCGGCGGAUCUCGGGUAGGGGGUCCCGAACUGUGCAUGUAGGCGGAUGGUAACAGGAGACAAGGGACACGAUGUUUUACCCAGGUUCGGGCCCUCUUGAUGGAGGUAAAACCCUACGUCCUGUUUGAUUAAUAUUGAUGAUGUGUAUUACAAGAGUGGAUCUACCACGAGAUCAAGGAGGCUAAACCAUAGAAGCUAGCCUAUGGUAUGAUUGUUGUAAUGGAGAUUGUGUCCUACGGACUAAAGCCCUCUGGUUUAUAUAGACACCGGAGAGGGCUAGGGUUACACAGAGUCGGUUACAACGGUAGGAGAUCUACAUAUCCGUAUUGCCAAGCUUGCCUUCCACGCCAAGGAAAGUCCCAUCCGGACACGGGACGGAGUCUUCAAUCUUGUAUCUUCAUAGUCUUGGAGUCCGGCGGACGAUGAUAGUCCGGCUGUCUGGACACCCCCUAGUCCAGGACUCCCUCAGUCACCGAACCUUAAGUGUGUAGACCCUACGGGUUCGGGAGACAUGCAGACAUGACCGAGACGCCUCUCCGGUCAAUAACCAACAGCUGGAUCUGGAUACCCAUGUUGGCUCCCACAUGCUCCUCGAUGAUCUCAUCGGAUGAACCAUGAUGUCGAGGAUUCAAUCAAUCCCGUAUACAAUUCCCUUUGUCAAUCGGUACGUUACUUGCCCGAGACUCGAUCGUCGAUAUCCCAAUACCUCAUUCAGUCUCGUUCCCGGCAAGUCACUUUACUCGUACCGUAAUGCAUGAUCCCGUGACCAGACACUUGGUCACAUUGAGCUCAUUAUGAUGAUGCAUUACCAAGUGGGCCCAUUGAUACCUCUCCAUCAUACGGAGUGACAAAUCCCAGUCUCGAUUGAUGCCAACCCAACAGACACUUUCGGAGAUACCCGUAGUGCACCUUUAUAGCCACCCAGUUACGUUGUGACGUUUGGCACACCCAAAGCACUCCUACGGUAUCCGGGAGUUGCACAACUCAUGGUCUAAGGAAAUGAUACUUGACACUUGGAAAAGCUUUAGCUAAACGAACUAAACGAUAUUUGAGCUAUGCUUAGGAUUGGGUCUUGUCCAUCACAUCAUUCUCCUAAUGAUGUGAUCCCGUUAUCAACGACAUCCAAUGCCCAUAGUCAGGAAACCAUGACUAUCUAUUGAUCAACGAGCUAGUCAACUAGAGGCUUACUAGGGACAUGUUGUGGUCUAUGUAUUCACACGUGUAAUACGAUUUCUGGAUAAUACAAUUAUAGCAUGAAUAAUAGACAGUUAGCAUGAACAAAGAAAUAUAAUAAUAACCAUUUAUUAUUGCAUCUAGGGCAUAUUUUCAACAGUCUCCCACUUGCACUAGAGUCAAUAAUCUAGUUACAUUGUGAUGUAUCGAACACCCAUUGCGUCCUGGUGUUGAUCAUGUUUUGCUCUAGGGAGAGGUUUAGUCAACGGAUCUGCUACAUUCAGGUCCGUAUGUACUUUACAAAUAUCUAUGUCUCCAUCUUGAACAUUUUCACGGAUGGAGUUGAAGCGAUGUGCCUGGUCUUCUUGUGAAACCUCAGCUCCUUGGCAAGUGCAAUAGCUCCAGUGUUGUCACAGAAGAGUGUAAUCGGCCCCGACGCAUUGGGUAUGACUCCUAGGUCGGUGAUGAACUCCUUCACCCAGAUUGCUUCAUGCGCUGCCUUCGAGACUGCCAUGUACUCCGCUUCACAUGUAGAUCCCGCCACGACGCUCUGCUUGCAACUGCACUAGCUUACUGCCCCACCAUUCAAAAUAUACACGUAUCCGGUUUGUGACUUCGAGUCAUCCAGAUCUGUGUCAAAGCUAGCGUCGACGUAACCCUUUAUGACGAGCUCUUCUUCACCUCCAUAUAUGAGAAACAUGUCCUUAGUCAUUUUUAGGUACUUAAGGAUGUUCUUGACUACUGUCCAGUGUUCCAUGCUGGGAUUACUUUGGUACCUUCCUACCAAACUUACGGCAAGGUUUAUAUAAGGUCUGGUACAGGUCAUGGCAUACAUGAUAGACCAUAUGGCUGAGGCAUAGGGGACGACACUCAUCUUUUCUCUAUCUUCUGCCGUGGUCGGGCAUUGAGCUGAUCUCAAUUUCACACCUUGCAACACAGGCAAGAACCCCUUCUUGGACUGAUCCAUAUUGAACUUCUUCAAUAUCUUAUCAACGUAUGUGCUUUGUGAAAGACCUAUGAGGCGUCUUGAUCUAUCUCUAUAGAUUUUGAUGCCUAAUAUGUAAGAAGCUUCUCCAAGGUCCUUCAUUGAAAAACACUUAUUCAAGUAGGCCUUUAUGCUGUCCAAAAGUUCUAUAUCAUUUUCCAUCAAAAGUAUGUCAUCCACAUAUAAUAUGAGAAAUGCUACAGAGCUCCCACUCACUUUCUUGUAAACGCAGGCUUCUCCAUAAGUCUGCAUAAACCCAAAUGCUUUAAUCAUCUCAUUAAAGCGAAUGUUCCAACUCCGAGAUGCUUGCACUAGCCCAUAGAUUGAGCGCUGGAGCUUGCAUACCUUGUUAGCAUUCUUAGGGUCGACAAAACCUUCCGGCUGCAUCAUAUACAGUUCUUCCUUAAGGUGACUGAGGGAGUCCUGGACUAGGGGGUGUUCGGACAGCCGGACUAUCAUCGUCCGCCGGACUCCAAGACUACGAAGAUACAAGAUUGAAGACUCCGUCCCAUGUCCGGAUGGGACUUUCCUUGGCGUGGAAGGCAAGCUUGGCGAUACGGAUAUGUAGAUCUCCUACCAUUGUAACCGACUCUGUGUAACCCUAGCCUUCUCCGGUGUCUAUAUAAACCGGAGGGCUUUAGUCCGUAGGAUACAACAUACAUUACAACAAUCAUACCAUAGGCUAGCUUUAGGGUUUAGCCUCCUUGAUCUCGUGGUAGAUCCACUCUUGUACUACUCAUAUCAUCAAUAUUAAUCAAGCAGGACGUAGGGUUUUACCUCCAUCAAGAGGGCCCGAACCUGGGUAAAACAUCGUGUCCCUUGUCUCCUGUUACCAUCCGCCUAGACGCACAGUUCGGGACCCCCUACCGGAGAUCCGCCGGUUUUGACACGACAUUGGUGCUUUCAUUGAGAGGUCCUCUGUGUCGUCACCGAUAGGAAGGAUGCCUCCACCCGUCUUCAAGGACGGUGUUUUCACCAAAGGGGCCUUGGCCGCCGGCCAAACUAUUCGGCUAUGUGGUUUUCUUAUGACCGCCUAUUCGGCCAUGGCUUCGACGAUGACUUCUCGAGUCGUCAAAAGCAAUCUCCACGUCAGCUCGGAAUUCGCCGAGUGGCUGGAUCCGAUAGAGCUCUCGUCUGUCAACGAACUCUUGGAUCGCAUCGCCGCCCUGGGAGUCACUACGGACUACAAUCAGAUUGGGCUUAAAACCGAUCUGAGAGAGAUUAACUCUCCCCAUGUCACCCACCAUGUCGCAGUGGUAGAGGGACAAUGCGGCGACUUUUUUCCUGUAUUAAAAACUAGACAUGCCCGGGCUCCCGAACCCUCCACGCCGGAUUCCCGCGGAGGAACAGAAUUCGAUCGAGCACUGAACUUAAAGUCAGGCAUCAGGCCGGACUCGUUGGACAACGUCCAGCAAUCCAAGCUUCCAAAAUUGGAAACUUCACGGCCUUUAAGCCCCGAGAUGGGUAGGGAUCCGGAAUUUAUUCCACCCACCCACCCAGACAUAUGCGAUCUAUCCCUAAUACGGCAAGACCCCGCUGAAACAGUACAUCACUACAGGGCCCGAUUCCUCCUGGUCAUGGACAGGAUAAAGGACUGCCGAGAGGAAAACACAAUUUCAAUCUUUUGCAAUAAUUGCACGGACAAGGGAAUAUUGAACGCCAUCGGCCGUCGUAAAAUCACACACUUCACCGAUCUGGCGUCCAUAGUACAAAAAUACUGUGCGAUGGAGAGUUUCUGGAAAACCGAAAAUCAGUUUUGGGAUAAUUCGGCUCUGAAUACAACCCUAGUCUGCAACAAAAGGGUGUAUCAUACUCAGGCCCCAGAUACAAAAACCAAAAAGCAAAAACCCCAUAAAGGGCACGGAACCGUACUGGAGGGAUGGCUCAGCGGACCCUGUAAGCUUCAUAGUACAGAGGGCGCCGUCCCAGCACAUAGCCUUCGAGCAUGUUGGAUAUUACGGCAGGUGGCCAAAAGUGGCGAGGAGCUUCUAGCCCCAGAAAACCACUCCAACAAUACCGGUAUGGUAUCAACAGUCUUCGAGACCUUCGCAUCAAAUAAUAUGCGAAAAUGAACAAUUUGCGGCCUCGCCGAAGUCUACCAAGUAGCAACGGCAAAUCCAUGGAGCGACACAGCCGUCACCUUCAACGCCAGCGACGAACCUAAAUUCCGAACAGCCCGAGCACCAGCCGCACUGGUGCUUAGUCCCAUAGUGGAUGGCUUUCGACUUACAAAGGUCCUCAUGGAUGGCGGCAGCGGACUAAACCUCAUCUACGAGGAAACUCUUCAAAAAAUGGAAAUAGACUGGAGCCGUAUUGAGCGAAGCAGCACAACCUUCAGAGGAAUAAUCCCUAGCCGGGAAGCGCGCUGCACCGGAAAAAUAACACUCGAUGUGGUGUUCGGCUCGCCGGAGAAUUACAGAUCCGAAGAAGUCACGUUCCAAGUGGCCCCGUUCAACAGCGAAUAUCACGCUAUAUUAGGACGAGAGGCAUUCACAAUUUUCUAAGCCGUACCCCAUUACGGGUACAUGAAGCUCAAAAUGCCUGGGCCCGGCGGAAUAAUCACUCUCGCUAGUGAUCCAGACAUAGCACUCUGCGCCGAAAACAAGACAGCCGCACUAGCCCUGGAGGCACUAUCCGAAGCCCUAGCGGCAGAAGAACUCACCGCGCUGCGCUCUACGGUGAACAGGGAUGAUGUGAUACUCGAUAAAAGAUCCAAGUCCACCUCUUUCAAACCAACAGAUGAAAUAGUAAAAUUCCAGGUCCAUCCAACGGACCCAACAAAGACGGCCUCCAUUGGGGCACAAUUGAAUCCCGAAGUAGACGCCGCAUUGCGCGAAUUCCUUCAGGAAAUUUGGGACAUUUUCGCCUGGCAUCCUUCGGAUAUGCCCGGAAUCCCACGCAGGUUGGCAGAACACAGCCUAAACAUCCUAAAAGGAUUCAAGCCAGUCAAAUAGGCUCUUCGACGAUUUUCCGAACCCAAAAGACAGGCAAUGGGAGAAGAGCUAGCCAAACUAUUGGAAGCCGGAUUCAUCAGAGAUAUCAAACAUCCGGAUUGGCUAGCAAAUCUGGUAAUGGUACCAAAGAAGGACAAAUCCUGGCGCCUAUGCGUCGAUUUUAAAGACCUCAAUAAGGCUUGCCCAAAGGAUCCCUUCCCCCUCCCCUGCAUCGACCAAAUUAUCGAUGCUACCGCAGGGCACGAUUCGUUGUGCUUCCUCGACGCAUACUCCGGCUACCAUCAAAUCAAGAUGGCAGAAGCAGAUCAAGCUGCAACGGCAUUCAUCACUCCAUACGGACCAUUCUGCUUCAACACGAUGCCCUUCGGACUUAAAAAUGCCGGCGCAACAUAUCAGCACAUGAUUCAAACAUGUCCGGCUACCCAGAUCGGCAAAAUAGUCGAGGCAUACGUAGAUGACGUAGUCGUCAAAACCAAACACGUCGAAACUCUAGUAGACGACUUGAGGCUCACAUUCGACAACCUCAGAGCAUAUGACAUCAAGCUAAAUCCGGAAAAAUGCGUUUUCGGCGUACCAACCGGAAAGCUGCUGGGCUUCAUUGUAUCCGGUAGAGGAAUUGAAGCAAACCCGGCCAAGAUCCGAGCUCUGUCACAGUUGGAUAUUCCAAAAGACCUCAAGCAGAUACAAAAAUUAACCGGAUGCGUGGCAGCUCUAAGCCGUUUUAUCUCCCGCUUGGGAGAAAAGGCACUGCCCCUUUAUCGCCUCCUUAGGCGCACCGAACACUUCGAGUGGACGGAUGCUGCCACUGCCGGACUCGAAGAAAUAAAGGCCAUAUUGGCAACAAAUCCGGUCCUAGCCGCGCCAAACCUAGGCGAACCCAUGUUGUUAUACAUCGCAGCAACACAUCAAGUUGUAAGCGCGGUACUCGUCGUUGAACGAGAGACAGAAGGGCAUAAAUUCCCUCUUCAAAAACCAGUGUACUACGUAUCCACUGUGUUAACCCCCUGCAAAUCCCGUUACCCGCACUAUCAAAAGAUAGCCUACGCGGUGUUCAUGGCAUCCCGGAAGCUCCGACACUACUUUCAAGAGUGUUCGAUAACAGUGGCCUCUGAAGUACCACUCAAUGACAUUAUAAACAACCGCGAUGCAACGUGUAGGAUUGCAAAAUGGGCCAUCGAGCUCCUACCAUUCGACAUAACCUACAAGCCUCGGCGAGCUAUAAAGUCACAAGUUUUGGCUGACUUUGUCGCUGAAUGGACCGAAGCCGAACUCCCUAAAGAGUACGGCGCAUACUCCAAUUGGACUACGCACUUCGACGGCCCCAAAAUGUUGGCCGGACUGGGGGCUGGCGUUGUCUUGACGUCCCCAACCGGGGACGCAGUCCAAGACGUACUUCAAAUAAUGUACAUGGACUCCAACAACGCAGCCGAAUACGAGGCCCUCCUACAUGGUCUCCGGAUGGCAAUCUCCAUGGGCAUUCAGCGCCUAGAGGUGCGCGGGGAUUCAAACCUUGCAAUAUCCCAAAUAAACAGAGACUUUGACGCCAAGGAUCUGAAAAUGGCAGCAUAUCGCAACGCUGUCCUAAAAAUAUCAGCUCGGUUUGAAGGACUUGAAUUCCAUCACAUAGCCCGAGAUAAUAACCAAGCAGCCGACGUACUGGUACGCAUCGGUGCAAAACGUGACGCUGUCCCUCCAAAUAUCUUCCUGGAACGGCUCUUCAAGCCGUCCGUACUAUGGGAAGGGGAGACUGGAAAUGACAAACUGGAAACAACCGCGCCAACCGGCGAUCCAGCCGAUGACAUAACACCUUCAGCCCACGACAUAAUGGCAGUAAUCGCCCCGUGGACAGAACCAUUCCUAGCCUACUUGCUUAGGCAGGAACUCCCCGAAGACCAAAAUGAGGCCCGCUGCAUAGUCCGGCGAUCGAAAGCCUACAAGGUCCAUGAGGGAGAACUUUAUAAGAAAAGUACAACCGGAGUCCUUCAAAGGUGUAUCUCCGAAGAGGAAGGGUGAAACCUCCUGGCUGAAAUUCAUGCCGGACUAGGGAGAACUUUAUAAGAAAAGUACUGGAUUUUAUUGGUCGACGGCCCGGGCAGAUGCCCAGGACUUAGUCCAGAGAUGCGUCGGCUGUCAGCUCUUUGCUAAUCAGAGCCAUAUGCCACCCACCGCCCUCAAAACUAUACCCAUUACCUGGCCGUUUGCGGUCUGGGGGCUUGAUAUGGUUGGACCCCUUAAAGGGGAACCCACAAGCAAAGGUACCUAUUGGUCAUGGUGGAUAAAUUCACCAAAUGGAUGGAGGCCAAACCAGUCAAAACGGCAGAGUCCGGACCAGUGAUAGACUUCAUAUCCGGGGUCGUACACCGUUACGGUGUCCCCCACAGCAUCAUCACCGACAACGGCACGAACUUCACGGCCGACGAGGUUAAGUCAUGGUGCGAAAAUAUGGGCAUUAAGCUCGACUACGCUUCAGUCUAUCACCCUCAAACCAACGGUCAAGUGGAACGAGCAAAUGGUCUAAUAAUGAGCGGCAUUAAACCCAGACUAGUGCGGUCACUUACAAAAUCCGACACGCACUGGGUAGAGGAGCUCGACUCCGUACUCUGGGGGCUGCGGACAACGCCUAACCGCACUACUGGAUUCACACCAUUUUUUAUGGUAUACGGCGCAGAGGCGGUCUUGCCCUACGACAUCAUUCAUGACUCACCUAGAGUGCGCAUGUACGAAGAACGAGAAGCCGAGCUGGAUCGGCAGGACAGCUUGGACGCAUUGGAGGAAGAACGCGACAUCACCAAGGCUCGUUCCACAUUUUAUCAGCAGCAGGCUCGAAGAUAUCAAAGCAGAGAAGUACGGGCCAAGACUUAUAACGUUGGCGAACUAGUUCUACGCCUGCCGGACAAGAAAAAGGACAAGCUCAAGCCCAAAUGGGAGGGCCCCUUCAUCAUCGACCAAGUCUUGACCGGCGGGGCGUACCGUCUGCGAAAUGCAUCGGACAACCGAUUCGAGCCGAACCCAUGGAACGCAGCCCGUCUCCGAAGAUUCUACGCCUAGCACCGGAUUAAGAGUUCGUCCCCUUCCCCCGUUCAAAUCUUUUACACUCCAGCUGCAUUUCGUUUCUCUUUCUUCUCUUAACCUUUCUUCAUAAAAGGCCCUUAAGAGCCCACUCGCGCAUUGUUCGCACACACUUGAUGUGCCAUCCGCACUCAUUAUACCUGGGGGCUUCUUUUCAAGAAGCUCAAUUGUAAGGGCUUCAUGCCUAGCACAUGUGUCAAGCUUCCACAUGUACCUUUUACUCACCAUUAUAUGCAUCGAUAUGACUUAAGUUUUGGCCAAGCUGGGUAGCCUGGCUCCUGUGCUUACCCCUACGUUCCCGAUUGUUCAGCUAGGAGGUAAAGGGAGCACCUCUGCGAUUGUUACUGCCGGGUCAGCCGGAUGUGUACCUCAGACUGGGUGAAGCCGAAAGCUAGCGUUCUUAAGGGAAUAUUCGGUCGGUGACUUGAAAGAUGAUUUCUUACCUACCUGUUUAUCUGCCCCCAGAUGUUUUUCUGCUUUUUUCGCAGUCCGGACAUGCACUUUAGGGCAUGCCUCCCAGGGAAAGGAACCCCUAACGAAACUAUUCUCCCUAGAAGAUGUUUCUUACUAACCAUGUAAUAUAACAUACCUAGUUGGGCACUUGUCUGAUAAAGCACUAAUGACCCCUACGCCUGGUCUCCAUGCAUACCCCGGUUCUUUCUUAACCAAAAAGGUAUUCGGACACACUCCGGACUCUAGGGUCCCGAGGUCGAAGCGAAAAGGUCGGCAAAGACAAACGAUCUACAAUCCGGCUAGAAGGCAUUUCACAUGUCAUUUUAAAAUACAUUGUCAAAUUUACUGAUUGUAUUCCUCCUCAAUCCCGUCUAACAGGCUGUCUAACUUACAGUCCCAUUGGGAAAAUUUAGCAGCCAACUCUACUAGGCUGUAUACUAAACUCACAGGGAUCUCCUUCCCAUCGGGCCCCACCAGUCCAACUUCAGCCAUGUGGUUGGGAUCCGCCUUCUUGUACCGCGUCUUCACCAUGGCCCAAGCCUCCCUGGCACCCUGGUGGCAGGCCGAAAUCUUCCAUAAACAGAAGCGCUGCCGCACUCCCUGGAGUUUCUCCGCAAGCUCCCCAAGGCCCUCGGGUAGGGAGACGACUGGCCAUAAUGCCUGGACAACGCCGCUCAUCGCCUGCCAAACUCAUUCGAGCAGUUGCAACAGCUCGGGAAGUUGAUCACCCGUCGAUAUGGGCAUCUCCUCCGCAGGGCGACCUGUGACUAUACCUACAAGACAUAUUCUGUCAAUUGACUUCCUCGCCGAACUCUUCUUUUUCAAAGGAGUCCGCUCAAGCACUUAUUAUAGAUUCCGCGACGAAGCCGCUGAUUCUCCUUAACGGAGCCGGACAGCUCGACCCGAACGCCUUUCAGCUCUUCUCCAAGCUGGGCGUGGGCAUCUUGAAGCUUGUUCCUCUCCUGCUGUACUCUAUUCAGCACCCUCUCGCCGGCCUUCAGCUGGCGCAGCAGUUCCUGCCUGUCCGGAUCUUGCCCGGCAGCACCUGCAAUGUCAUUAUUAGACUUGUGCGCACGCCGCACAUCGCUUAUAUUUACCAAAAAAAUGUGUUACUAGGAGGGGCCUCUAUGUCUCCUCCUGCGGCAGCAAGUGCGGCCUCAAGUUGGGCCUUGCAUUCUUGCAGCUCCUGAGACAGCUGGGCAUUCUUCUCGGUAAGAGCCUGCGUUUCAAAUGAUCCUUAAAUCAGUUCACACAACUACUUUAAGUCUCGGGGGCUACUGGCAUAUAUAACCAUUAAAUUCCCUUACCCGUAUGUCUUUUACAUACUGCUCCGUGGCUCUGGUAAAACCAUCUUGAGCAGCACGGAGGUGCGCGUCCCCCUCGUUAAAAGCGUUCAGCGCCUCAGGGGAAAAGCACGCGUCACGAAAUACUGUCCGGUGGCGCCUAUCGUUCAUGGCGCUCUCCACCUCAGAUUUGGUGGCGGAUAGUCUGUCGGCAUCCUCCGUUGGAGGAGUAUCCGACCCGCGCCUUGCGCUUGCCUCCCCCUCCAGGCCGGGCGCUGGAGCCUGGCUGGUAUAGGCCGGAUCGGCAACCUCUACGCCUGCAGUCCGGCGGGCGCUUUUUCUCCUACAAAGAUCAUGAGCACUCAGACGCUUCCUAGGAACGUUGCUCUGAAUAUUUAAAUACGAGCUAUACCUUUGCGGCGACAUUUCAGUCCAUGCCGCGCUCCUUUUCUGCCUGCUAGUCCGGACUGGCCUUUGUUGGUCAGCUGCCGCGGGCUCGGCUUCCUGCCUUGAAGGCGCUUCCUGUAAAACACCAUCGUUCGCGAAGGUCAGAAAUGGGCAAGGAAGAGAUAAUGGUGUCCAGACCUCGGUCACAAUCACCUGGAAAGCCGGAUAUAGUCCGGGGUAGUCUGCCGUAAUGGCGACUAAAGCAUUAUCCAUACCGAGCUGGUGGAACACCCCGUCGAUCAGCUCCACCUUGAUAUUCAGAUCCUCUUCGGAGGCCGGAUCCUAGGAUCUUUCUGGAUCCUCGGGUUGCGGAGCUGGACUUACCAUGUCCUCCACAAUCCGGCGUAGUUCCUGCGCCGAAGACAUAAUGUAAGAAGCUUAAACUUCGAAAGCAUGGGUUGAGCCCUUAAAAGUGUUCGCUUACCCAGCCUCUAGGGUUGUUCAUGGAAAACCCAUUUAAGGGGUUCGUUCGAAGGAAGUCCUCCUUCUCCCCCUUGUACAGGCCGGACAGGAUCUGCACCAGAUCCUCGGUCGAAUCCGGCCCUUCGCGGCCGUGGCGGGUGGCAUCAUCUUCCCCAUUGAAAUCCCACAUGGGGUGGCCCCUGUAUUGCAAUGGAUGUACCCCCCGCAUGAUGCAUGUGGCCAUGACUCCAAUCAUGGUCAACCCGGAAUGGGCCAGUGAUCUUAUUCGGCCCAUCAGGUAAUGGACGCUCUUGUCUCCCUCCAAUUGGGGGCUCCGCGGGCGCCAACUAAGGCGUUUCUUCAGAGGAGUAGCACUGAACUCCGGGAGGCCGAUCCGGACUGGGUCCGGCAGCGGAGCGUUUUCUAUGUAAAACCACUCCGAAGGCCAGUCUUCGGACGCCUUCUUGGGGGUUUCGGAUGGAUAUCCGGUCCCGGCAAUGCGCCAUACUUCGGCGCCACCCACUUGAUAUAUAGAUCCCUCAUGAGGACGGGGUACGAGGCAGAACAACCUCUUCCACAGUGCAAAAUGGGGCUCGAUGCCCAGGAAUAGCUCGCAAAGAGCUACGUAGCCCGCGAUAUGCAGGACAGAGGCGGGUGUAAGGUGAUGGAGCUGGAGUCCGUAGAACUCCAGGAGCCCGCGGAGGAACGGAUGUAUCGGAAAUCUGAGUCCCCUUAUCAGAUAGGGGACGAAGCAUACCCGCUCCCCUUUGUUGGGACUUGGGGUAGCCUCUGCUUGCUUCCCACCUUGGCAGGUGGCCAGCCCGGCUCGAACCAGGAUCAUGAAGGCCGGAGGAAGAUAUCCCCCCGCUUGGAGCUUCACUAGCUCGUUGUGUGGAACAGAGCACCUCCUCCAAUCUCCUGGCGGUGGGCUGGGAGCGCGAGAAGAGGAGCCGCAUCGACGGUCCAUGAUGGAAUGGACUUUCGGGUCAAAGGCACUCCGAUGAGCAUUCGCGGAAGGAAGAUGGUGUGAUUUGGAUCUGGAUUAUUGCCUCUUUUGUAGGCGGAAGAUUUGCACGACUAGGGGGUGAAACAUAAAAGACACCCUGGCUUUUCGCGUUCGUGCGACGCGUGGAAGAAGGUCAUUAUUGGGCGUAGAAGCCGAGAAGCACAGCAUUUAUGAGGAAGCCGGACACUGUUCGGCAGGUACAUGGAACUUGAAGGGAGAACCCGCCUUGCAACGCUGAAGACUAUAUACGCGCUGGACUUAUCGUCAUUGAAGCCUGGUUCGGGGGCUACUGAGGGAGUCCUGGACUAGGGGGUGUCUGGACAGCCGGACUAUUAUCGUCCGCCGGACUCCAAGACUACGAAGAUACAAGAUUGAAGACUCCGUCCCGUGUCCGGAUGGGACUUUCCUUGGCUUGGAAGGCAAGCUUGGCGAUACGGAUAUGUAGAUCUCCUACCAUUGUAACCGACUCUGUGUAACCCUAGCCUUCUCCGGUGUCUAUAUAAACCGGAGGGCUUUAGUUCGUAGGACACAACAUACAUUACAACAAUCAUACCAUAGGCUAGCUUUAGGGUUUAGCCUCCUUGAUCUCGUGGUAGAUCCACUCUUGUACUACCCAUAUCAUCAAUAUUAAUCAAGCAGGACGUAGGGUUUUACCUCCAUCAAGAGGGCCCGUACCUGGGUAAAACAUCGUGUCCCUUGUCUCCUGUUACCAUCCGCCUAGACGCACAGUUCGGGACCCCCUACCCGAGAUCCGCCGGUUUUGACACCGACAGUGACCGUUAAGAAAUGCCUUUUUGACGUCCAUUUGCCAUAUCUCAUAAUCAUAGUAUGCGGCAAGUGCUAACAUGAUUCGGACGGACUUCAGCUUCGCUAUGGGAGAGAAUGUCUCAUCAUAGUCAAUCCCUUGAACUUGUCGAUAACCCUUAGCGACAAGUCGAGCUUUAUAUAUGGUGACAUUACCAUCCACGUCCGUCUUCUUCUUAAGGAUCCAUUUGUUUUCUAUUGCUCGCCGAUCAUCGGGCAAGUCUGUCAAAGUCCACACUUUGUUUUCAUACAUGGAUCCUAUCUCGGAUUGCAUGGCUUCAAGCCAUUUGUUGGAAUCUGGGCCCGCCAUCGCUUCUUCAAAGUUCGAAGGUUCACCAUUUUCUAACAACAUGAUUUCUAAGACAGGGUUGCCGUACCACUCUGGUGCGGAACGUGUCCUUGUGGACCUUCAAAGUUCAGUAAGAGCUUGAUCCGAAGUAUCUUGAUCAUCAUCAUUAACCUCCUCUCUUGUCAGAGCAGGCACCACAGGAACAUCUUCCUAAGCUGCGCUACUUACCGGUUCAAGAGGUAGUACUUCAUCAAGUUCCACUUUCCUCCCACUUAAUUCUUUCGAGAGAAACUCUUUCUCCAAAAAGGACCUGUUCUUGGCAACAAAGAUCUUGCCCUCGAAUCUUAAGUAGAAAGUAUACCCAAUGGUUUCCUUAGGGUAUCCUAUGAAGACGCAUUUUUCCGACUUGGGUUCGAGCUUCUCACAUUGAAGUUUCUUGACAUAAGCAUCGCAUCCCCAAACUUUUAGAAACGACAGCUUAGGUUUCUUCCCAAACCAUAAUUCAUACGGUGUCGUCUCAACGGAUUUAAACGGUGCCUAUUUAAAGUGAAUGUAGCUGUCUCUAGAGCGCAUCCCCAAAAUGAUAGCGGUAAAUCGGUAAGUGACAUCAUAGAUCGCAUCAUAUCCAAUAGAGUGCGAUGACGACGUUCGGACACACCAUUUCGCUGAGGUGUUCUAGGCGGCGUGAGUUGUGAAACGGUUCCACAUUUCCUUAAGUGCGUACGAAAUUCGUGACUUAAAUAUUCACCCCCACGAUCUGAUCGUAAGAACUUUAUCUUUCGGUCACGUUGAUUCUCUACCUCAUUCUGAAAUUCCUUGAACUUUUCAAAGGUCUCAGACUUGUGCUUCAUCAAGUAGACAUACCCAUAUCUACUCAAGUCAUCAGUGAGAGUGAGAACAUAAUGAUAUCCUCCGCGAGCCUCAACGCUCAUUGGACCGCACACAUCAGUAUGUAUGAUUUCCAAUAAGUUGGUUGCUCGCUCCAUUGUUCCAGAGAACGGAGUCUUGGUCAUCUUACCCAUGAGGCAUGGCUCGCAUGUCUCAAAUGAUUCAUAAUCUAGAGACUCCAAAAGUCCAUCAGCUUGGAGCUUCUUCAUGCGCUUGACACCAAUGUGACCAAGGCGGCAGUGCCACAAGUAUGUGGGACUAUCGUUAUCAACUUUACAUCUUUUAGUAUUCACACUAUGAAUAUGUAUAACAUUACGCUCGAGAUUCAUUAAGAAUAAACCAUUCACCAGCGGGGCAUGACGAUAAAACAUAUCACUCAUAUAAAUAGAACAACCAUUAUUCUCGGAUUUAAACGAGUAGCCAUCUCGAAUUAAACGAGAUCCUGAUACAAUGUUGAUGCUCAAAGCUGGUACUAAAUAACAAUUAUUGAGGUUCAAACUAAUCACGUAGGUAAAUGUAGAGGUAGCUUGCCAAUGACGAUCACAUCGACCUUGGAACCAUUCCCGACGCGCAUCGUCACCUCGUCCUUCGCCAGUCUUUGUUUAUUCCGCAGCUCCUGCUUUGAGUUACAAAUAUGAGCAACCGCAUCGGUAUCAAAUACCCAGGAGCCACUACGAGCACUGGUAAGGUACACAUCAAUUACAUGUAUAUCACAUAUACCUUUGGUUUUGCCGGCCUUCUUGUCCGCUAAGUACUUGGGGCAGUUCCGCUUCCAGUGUCUGCUUCCCUUGCAAUAAAAGCACUCAGUUUCAGGCUUGGGUCCAUUACUCGACUUCUUCCCGGCAACUGGCUUACCGGGCGUGGCAACUCCCUUGCCGUGCUUCUUGAAGUUCUUCUUACCCUUGCCUUUCUUGAACUUAGUGUUUUUAUUCACCAUCAACACUUGAUGUUCCUUUUUGAUCUCCACCUCCGCUGAUUUUAGCAUUGAAUAUACCUCAGGAAUGGUCUUUUCCAUCCCCUGCAUAUUGAAGUUCAUCACAAAGCUCUUGUAGCUUGGUGGGAGCGACUGGAGAAUUAUGUCGACCACCACGUCAUCCGGGAGAUUAACUCACAGUUGAGAUAAGCGGUUGUGCAACCGAGACAUUUUGAGUAUGUGCUCGCUGACAGAACCAUUCUCCUCCAUCUUACAACUGUAGAACUUGUCGGAGACUUCAUAUCUCUCGACCCGGGCGUGAGCUUGGAAAACCAUUCUCAGCUCUUGGAACAUCUGAUAUGCUCCGUGCUGCUCAAAAUGCUUUUGGAGCCCUGGUUCUAAGCUGUAAAGCAUGCCGCACUGAACCAGGGAGUAAUCAUCACUAUGCGACUGCCAGGCGUUCAUAACAUCUUGAGUUGCUGGGAAAAUGGGUGCUUCACCUAGCGGUGCAUCUAGGACAUAUGCUUUCUUGGCAGCUAUGAGGAUGAUCCUCAAGUUCCGGACCCAGUCCGUAUAGUUGAUGCCAUCGUCUUUCAGCUUGGUUUUCUCUAGGAACGCGUUGAAGUCGAGGGCAAUAUUAGCGUGGGCCAUUUGAUCUACAAGACAUAUUGCAAAGAUUUUAGACUAAGUUCAUGAUAAUUAAGUUCAUCUAAUCAUAACAAUGAAAUCCCACUCAGAUGACAUCCCUCUAGUCAUCUAAGUGAUCCAUGAUCCGAGUCAACCAGCCCGUGUCCGAUCAUCACGUGAGACGGACUAGUCAUGAUCGGUGAACAUCUUCAUGUUGAUCGUAUCUUCUAUACGACUCAUGUUCGACCUUUCGGUCUUCCGCGUUCCGAGGCCAUGUCUGUACAUGCUAGGCUCGUCAAGUUAACCUAAGUGUAUUGCGUGUGUAAAUCUGGCUUACACCCAUUGUAUUCGAACGUUAGGAUCUAUCACACCCGAUCAUCACGUGGUGCUUCGAAACAACGAUCCUUCGCAAUGGUGCACAGUUAGGGGGAACACUUUUCUUGAAAUUAUUAUGAGGGAUCAUCUUAUUUACUACCGUCGUUCCAAGUAAACAAGAUGAAAAACAUGAUAAACAUCACAUGCAAUCGAAUAGUGACAUGAUAUGGCCAAUAUCAUAUUGCUCCUUUGAUCUCCAUCUUCGGGGCGCCAUGAUCAUCUUCGUCACCGGCAUGACACCAUGAUCUCCAUCAUCAUGAUCUCCAUCAUCGUGUCUUCUUGAAGUUGUCACGCCAACGACUACUUCUACUUCUAUGGCUAAUGCGUUUAGCAAUAAAGUAAAGUAAUUUACAUGGCGUUCUUCAAUGACACGCAGGUCAUACAAAAAUAAAGACAACUCCUAUGGCUCCUGCCGGUUGUCAUACUAAUCGACAUGCAAGUCGUGAUUCCUAUUACAAGAACAUGAUCAUCUCAUACAUCACAUAUAUCAUUCAUAACAUCCUUUGGCCAUAUCACAUCACAAAACACUUGCUACAAAAACAAGUUAGACGUCCUCUAAUUGUUGUUGCAAGUUUUUACAUGGCUUCUAUAGGUGAUCUAGCAAGAACGUUUUCUUACCUACAUUAAAGCCACAAUGUGAUUUGCCAACUUCUAUUUACCCUUCAUAAGGACCCUUUUCAUUGAAUCCGCUCCAACUAAAGUGGGAGAGACAGACACCCGGAAGCCACCUUAUGCAACUAGUGCAUGUCAGUCGGUGGAACCUGUCUCACGUAAGCGUACGUGCAAGGUCGGUCCGGGCCGCUUCAUCCCACAAUACCGCUGAAGCAAAAUAAGACUAGUAGUGGCAAGAAAGUUGUGAACAUCUACGCCCAUAACAAAUUGUGUUCUACUCAUGCAAAGAGAACUACGCAAAGACCUAGCUUAUGAUGCCACUGUUGGGGAACGUUGCAUAAAAUAAAAAAAUUCUUACGUUCACCAAGAUCAAUAUAGGAGUUCGUCCAGCAACGAGAGAGAGGAGUGCAUCUACAUACCCUUGUAGAUCGCGUGCGGAAGCGUUCAAGAGAACGGGGUUGAGGGAGUCGCACUCGUUGUGAUCCAAAUCACCGGAGAUCCUAGCGCCGAACGGACGGCACCUCCGUGUUCAACACACGUACGGUCAGCGUGACAUCUCCUCCUUCUUGAUCCAGCAAGGGGAAAGGAGAGGUUGAUGAAGAUCCAGCAGCACGACAGCGUGGUGGUGGGUGCAGCAGGGAUCCGGCAGGGCUUCGCCAUGCGUCUGCGGGAGGGAGAGGUGUAGUAAGGGGGAAGGGAGGCGCCAAGUGCAAGGGUGCGGCUGCCCUCCCUCCCCCCUCUUUAUAUAGGGUCCCUAGGGAGGGGCGCCGGCCCUAGGAGAUGGGAUCUCCUAGGGGGGCGGCGGCCAAGGGGGGAGCCUUGCCCCCUGUCGGUGUCAAAAUCGGCGGAUCUCGGGUAGGGGGUCCCGAACUGUGCGUCCAGGCGGAUGGUAACAGGAGACAAGGGACACGAUGUUUUUACCCAGGUUCGGGCCCUCUCAAUGGAGGUAAAACCCUACUCCUGCUUGAUUGAUAUUGAUGAUAUGGGUAGUACAAGAGUGGAUCUACCACGAGAUCAAGGAGGCUAAACCCUAGAAGCUAGCCUAUGGUAUGAUUGUUGUAAUGGUUGUUGUCCUACGGACUAAAGCCCUCCGGUUUAUAUAGACACCGGAGAGGGCUAGGGUUACACAGAGGCGGUUACAAUGGUAGGAGAUCUACAUAUCCGUAUCGCCAAGCUUGCCUUCCACACCAAGGAAAGUCCCAUCCGGACACGGGACGGAGUCUUCAAUCUUGUAUCUUCGUAGUCUUGGAGUCCGGCGGACGAUGAUAGUCCGGCUGUCCGGACACCCCCUAGUCCAGGACUCCCUCAGUAGCCCCUGAACCAGGCUUCAAUGACGAUGAGUCCGGCGCGCAUAUUGUUCGGCAUUGCAAGGCGGGUUCCUCCUCCAAAUAAUCCAUAGAAGAUUGUGAACACCAGGAUAGUGUCCGGCUCUGCAAAAUAAUUUCCACAUUCCACCGUAGAGAGAAUAUUAUGUACACAAGUUCAAUAUGCUGACGUAUCUUGUAGCAUGACGUCACGCCACUACCAAGCCUUUACUUGAAUCGUUUUUUAUUAUACCACCUCGGUGCGUUUAGCGAAGCGGUUUCCUUGGCACGUCUUGUCGAGGCAGAGAUCGUGUUCCCCUUAUUCCGGGAUUCUCAUCAAUACAGACGUGGGUAACCCAACCGCGCCAUUGAUGGUGGCGCUUGGGAGAUAAGCGAGUUUUACCAGGCCGGUGGGGACGUAUAGUCUUCGUCCGCCUAUAUAUAAGGGGAUAAGGAUCCACCUUUUCACCUACGCCUUCUUCCUCCUUUGCUUAUCCAUCUCCGCGCACUCUCGAGCUCCAGCGCCCAAGUCCGUGCAUCUCGCCUCGACCUUCUCCGACCAUGUCCGGAGCGGGAGGCAAAUGGCUGGCCUCCUCCGUGACGGAGGACCACAUCGCAAAACUGCGCAGUGCCGGAUAUCUUUCCGACGACAUCGCGCACCGGCUGCCCGACAAGGGGCAGCUCAUCCCCACCCCCAGGCCCCAUGAGAGGGUCUUUUUCAUUCCCCACUUCCUCCGCGGACUGGGCUUCCCACUUCACCCCUUUGUCCGGGGGCUCAUGUUCUACUACGGCCUGGAUUUCCACGAUCUGGCGCCGAACUUCGUCCUCAACAUCUCGGCGUUUAUCUUCGUGUGAGAGGCCUUCCUAUGCAUCCAGCCCCACUUCGGCAUGUGGCUCAAGACCUUCAAUGUCAAGCCGAAGGUAGUGAAGGGCACUCAUGCGGAGUGCGGAGGCGCCAUGUUGGGCAAGAUGCCCAACAUCAUCUGGUUCGAAGGGGCCUUUGUGGAGUCCGUCAAGGGGAGGCAAUCGGGGUGGUUCUACAUCACCGAGCCGCGCGACCCUAAGUGGGCGGCAGCCCCCGAGUUCAGAUCUGGUAUCCCUAUGCAGCUCACCUCCUGGAAAGAGAAGGGCUUGCUAUGGGGUAGUUCGGAGGAGCUGAUGGGACUCCAAGCCUGUAUCCAGAAGCUGGUGAGCAAGAAGCUCAGGCUGGUCAACGUGGUCCAAGUCAUGCUCAUCCGCCGGAUUCUCCCUUGCCAACAACGGGCGUUUAAUUUGUGGGAGUUCAAUCCGGCACAGCACCCGGCAUUGAGCGGGCUCUUCGACACGACGUACGAAGGUGCCUGGAGGGUGCUGUUCAAGGGCGCUGAGCCUCCCGCAUCCGCCACUGAAGAUCGCGGAUUUCGCUCGCAGCGUCCAGCUGACGAGGUAAGUGAUUCUACCCCUUUACGGGACACUUGUUUUCAAUAGUUUGACUCUACGCGGGUUUCAAUCUCCCUUUUCCUUUGACAGGACUGGAUGAGGAAGGCCGAGCAGAUCAUCUGCCCAGCUCCCAUGCCAGAAAACCCAGUCGACGCCCGUCUAGCGGGGCUGCUGGUUCCGGCACCGCAUGUGGUGCCGGAGAAGAAGGCCAAGAAGGAGGCCAAGGGAACUCGAAGAAGUUCCCGGCGCCAGGUGGUAUUGGACUCAUCGUCCGAUGGCUCCGAGGCGGACUCCUCCCCCGAAGACGAGGAGGAGAAAGAGGACUCUCUCCCAGAGGAGGGAGAGAGAAAGAGGAAGGCCUCCCCAACAGGGGAGGCCGAAGGGUCCAAGAGGGGAAGGACUAUUCCCCCGGACAGCUCCGCCAACAUCAACGUUGGCGACGAAGAGUGGCCCUCAAGGGCCAGGCCUCCGGCAAGAUCGUAAGUAUCUGGAUUCCUGAAUGAUUUACAAUUUCUCUUUUGUGUCACAUAGUGUCCUUCUAACGCCGCACACUGCCCGUAGUCCGGCCGAUGAUGAUCUCCCCGCUUCAUCGAGCGGGUCGUUGGCUCCGUCGGAUGUGGAUUCCAUCCCGACUGCCUCCACCCCUCGCGCCACUGAGGACGCUGAGGUGGGAUCCCAGGAAGGGACACAUCAGGAGGAGGCUCCGGAGGCGCCACAAGGCAGCCUCCCGGACUUUGUGCCGGACUCCACGCCGGAACCCGCAGUGGUUUCGGAGUCCGGCAGGCGGCCCCUUCGCAAGAAGGGCAAGACCAUGACGCCGGCGGCCCCCGUCCAACAGGAGGCGCCGGACAACUUGCUGGAGGCGCUCAAAGGCGCUUCCAUCGAGGAAGAACACCGCACUAUCAUGAGUGCGGUGAUUCAGAAGGUUCAGCUCGCCAAGAGCGGGCUGACCGAAGCCUGCAGUAGCCUUCUAACAGGCUUUGAGGUAAGAAGUUAAAAUUAUGUAACGUAAUACCGCAUAGACAGUAGCCCCUGAUGCUCGGUUCGGUGUUCGGAAAGAAAAGCCGGACUGAGGAUCUAAAAAGAUAUACGCAGGGUUGCUAAAAAUUAUGUCAAUAUGGGUUUGCAGGCUGCGCUGCUGACCUCUGCCGCACUAACUGCAAAGGUCGGUGCUUUGAAGCAGGACCUCGAGCGGUCCGAGCAAGAGCUCGGCCGUGCCAAGAAGCAGAUCGAGGACAAAGAAGGUGAGUAACACCACUUUGAAUAGUUACCUUACAGAAAAGGAUUUAGGUUGCAAUAACAAUAACAAGGAUAACGUGGGUACUGCAGGGGCCACGAACGAGGUGGCAACCCUGAAGGAGGCUAUGUUCGCGGCCGAACGCAAUGCGGCCACAGAACGGGCAGAGCGGGAGAAGCAGGAGGCGCGGGUGGCGGAGGUGCGGCAAGAGCUCCAGGCUCUCAUGGAAAAGCAUGAGAGUUUGGAGCGUGACUCGAAGACUCGAGAGUCCGAGCUUGCCUCGGCUCUCGAAAGUGACAAAGCCUCCAAGGCCGAGGCCCAUAAGGCCCUUCAGGAGGUUGAGGAUGUGAAGAAAAUAGCGGCGGGUAAGGCAUUUUUCAUGCAAAGCAAGCAUGUUAAUGUAGACUACCUGACACUUACCCGAAUUCGGAGCUCUCCAGGGGCGUUUGCAAAUCUGCCUCACAGUGUAUCCGAUGCCGCCGCGUUCUACCGUGGCGAGGAGGGGAGCUCAACGGAGAAGGUCUUCUGGUCUCAGUACGCUGAGGCCGGCCAUCCGGUGCCCCCUAGCGACCAGCUGAAGCAGCUGGUCGGGCUCCACAAGGUAGCCGAGCAGGCCAUGAAGGGCCUCAUAGUCCGGCUGUGGCCUGGAGAGGCCAUGCCUGGGAGCUACUUCGGCCUCGUGCGGCGGCUGGUGGAUGUGUGCCCCUGGGUGGAGGUCAUUAAGCGCUCCGCCUGUAUUGAAGGUGCUCGUCGGGCUCUUGCCCGCGCAAAGGUGCACUGGGGCAAGCUGGAUGCGGAAAGUCUUAUCACUGACGAGCCGCCAGCGGGCAAGGAGUAUCGUACGCCCGAGAUGUACUAUAAGACUGUCCUGAAGGGUGCCCGCAAGAUUGCGGAUGAGUGCCCCAGAGAUGUAAUUAUUGAGUAAACUCGCUAUGUAUUAUCCUGUGCGCUAAAAACUUUGUUCAUAUGCGCUAAGCAACGCUUGUUUAAUUUAAAAUAUUACCUUCUGUGCGGCCGUUUAUAAAAUCUGAGCGAUGGAAAGUCGUCAGCUUCAGCCCCCAUGCCACUAGUGCUGGGGUGUCGGGAUAAACUUGAGCACUCUUGCUCCCAUUUUUGGGUCCAUCUAGGGAGGCGCUCAACACAACGAACAAGGCAACCGGACUUAUAAUGCUUGAACACUCUCACUUAGCCAUAGAAUUCUAUAAUUUUAAAUUUCGGCGAAGCCCCUAGUAUUCGAAAGACCGAGUUCGGGGCGCUAUCCACGCCUUGGCCGGACAUGAUCCGGUUCUUCGCUCGAAGUGGCAUAAGUCUUUAGGGACUCGAAAAGACCUCUCGAACAGCGACCAGUCUCUCGCCUUAUCAUGCCAGUCAGUUUUAGCUUUCUCCACUGAGGCGCUCGCCCAGCUCAACUGGGGCGCAAUCGCAGUGGUUCUCCCAGUGCUACCUUAGCCGACGGAACGGAACGUAAGGUACCAAAACAUGGGAGCCGGGCAAACCCAACUAUUGACCCAAGACAUGAUUCGGAGCCGAUUCAUAUAAUGCUAUAAGUUUGGGGUGCCGCACUUGUGAAAGUGUUCGGACUUAUCACACCAAAAUGCUUGGAACAUAAGCCCCUGGUGUAUUCGGCCAUACCAGAAUAUACGGGUGCACGAUGUCGUUAAUGAACAUAUAUGUAAAGUGAUGCAAUUAUAGGCAAAAAAUGCUGCAGUAUUUAUUUUAAGGAAUUCUGCUAUGAGUGCGGAAUGAUACAAAUAGUGCGGUAAGCAAGGGAUUGGACUAAUUAAACAUGUCCCCCUCUAGGAAUGGGCUGCGGACUGGUGUGUAUAAUCAAAUUUAAUGCUCGUAAUGGAGACCACCUGAGUGUUCAUCGCAGCCUUUUUCCCUCCCUGGCUGUUGCAUCGUGAGUUCGGCGGGUUUGCCGCCGGACAGGGCCUCUGGUGAACGGAGUCCUGUGUAUAAAAAGAAUGAAUAAAAAUAAAAAGAGCGACACACUUGGGAGCCCCUGGUGUGGUCGAGCCGCACUCUAGGUCUGUUGUGGUCGUGCCCCUCCCCCUAUGCCCAUGGUAUCUCCAGAGUGUAAUGAUGUACGCGGAGGGCUGGUCUUGCAAUCAUGCGAGGGCUGGGGUUGGGGCCGCAUUGCUACGCGUGCUCGGAACGUGCCAGGUGGUCUUGAUUGAUGUUGCUCCGGGCGCGUUUGGCCGUGUCCGGUCGUUUAACGGCCGGACUCAAAAAUUGCCUUAAAAGGCUGCUCUGUACUUCUGCCGCGAGAGCCGCUGUAUGUUCCUCCGUUCGGAGGGAGCGUUCCAUAUUUCCGUUGACCGUGAUGACUCCACGAGGGCCUGGCAUCUUGAGCUUGAGGUAUGCAUAAUGCGGCACCGCGAUGAACUUUGCAAACGCGGUUCAUCCGAGCAGAGCGUGAUAGCCGCUGCGGAACGGAACUAUGUCAAAGAUUAACUCCUCGCUUCGGAAAUUAUCCGGGGAUCUGAAGACCACUUCCAGUGUGACUGAGCCUAUACAAUUGGCCUCAACACCUGGUAUGACGCCUUUGAAGGUCGUCUUUGUAGGUUUAAUCCUUGAGGGGUCUAUGCCCAUCUUGCUCACUGUAUCCUGAUAAAGCAGGUUCAGGCUACUGCCGCCGUCCAUCAGGACUCUCGUGAGGUGAAAUCCAUCGACAAUUGGGUCUAAAACAAAUGCGGCGAAUCCGCCAUGGCGGAUACUGGUCGGAUGGUCUCUUCGAUCGAAAGUGAUUGGGCAAGAGGACCAUGGAUUGAACUUCGGGGCGACUGGCUCCGUCGCAUAUACGUCCCUUAGUGCACGCUUCCGCUCCCUCUUGGGUAUAUGGGUUGCGUAUAUCAUGUUGACCGUCCGCACUUGUGGGGGGAAACCUUUCUGUCCUCUACUGUUCGGCGGCCGGGUCUCCUCCUCGUCGUCGCUGUGCUGCCCCUUGUCGUUGUUUUCGGCAAUUUACUUGCCUGCCUUCUUAAAUACCCAACAAUCUCUGUUGGUGUGGUUAGCUGGUUUUUCGGGGGUGCCAUGUAUCUGGCAAGAGCGGUCGAGUAUUCGGUCCAGAUUGGACGGACCCGGGGUGGUUCUUUUGAAUGGCUUCUUCCGCUGACCGGGUUUAGAGCCUCGGAAUCCGGCGUUGACUGCCGUAUCCUCCUUGUCGUCGCCGUUAACGUGGCGUUUAUUUUUGCUUCGACGCGACCUGCCAUUGUGGUCCUUAGUAUCCGGACUACCAGCAUUUUUACUGAGGUUGUUGCUGCGAGCUAGCCAGCUAUCCUCUCCCGCACAGAAGCGGGUCAUUAGUGAUGUGAGGGCUGCCAUGGAUUUCGGCUUUUCCUAUCCUAGGUGCCGGGCUAGCCACUCGUCGCGGAUGUUAUGUUUGAAGGCUGCGAGGGCCUCUGCGUCCGGACAGUCGACGAUUUGAUUUUUCUUUGUUAAGAACCGUGUCCAGAAUUGCCUAGCCGAUUCGUCUGGCUGCUGAAUUAUGUGUCUUAGGUCAUCGGCGUCUGGUGGUCGCACAUAUGUGCCUUGGAAGUUGUCGAGGGAUGCGGCUUCCAGGUCCUCCCAACACCCAAUAGACUCUGCUGGCAAGCUGUUAAGCCAAUGCCGAGCUGGUCCUUUAAGCUUGAGUGGGAGAUAUUUGAUGGCGUGGAGAUCGUCUCCGCGGGCCAUAUGGAUAUGAAGGAGAUAAUCUUCGAUCCAAACCGCGGGGUCUGUUGUGCCAUCGUAGGAUUCAAUGUUUACGGGUUUAAACCCUUCAGGGAUUUGAUGAUCCAUUACUUUGUCAGUGAAGCAUAGCGGGUGUGCGGCGCCUCUGUAUUGAGCAAUAUCACGACGUAGCUCAAGGGAGCGUUGUCUGCUGUGUUCGGCCCGGCCGGAGUUGUUGUAUCCGGCGCGACGGUAUUCGUCGUGGGUCGUGGGGCGCCCACGUGAUCCAUAGAUGGAUCUGGAUUGCCUUGCUUUGUCCUCCAAUAUAUAUCGCAAGUCCGGCGCGUUCCCUCGUGGCUUCGUACUUUUGGAGCGAUGCCGGGGUACGGUCUUGGUGGAGGGCCUGGAUGCCUCUCUGUCGCGACCACGGGGUGGUCGGUCGGCCGUAUUGUGCACUGGUAAUGAAGGUAUGUAUGCUUCCUCCUCUAAUAGGGGGAGCAAUUUGCGUUUUGGGUAACUCUUGGAGGGACGUUCGAGUUCAUACUCUUCGGCCGCGAGGACCUUGGUCCAUCUGUCGGCCAGCAGGUCUUGAUCAGCUUGAAGCUGCUGCUGCUUUUUGUUUAGGCUGUUUGCUGUGGCCAUUAGCCUGCGUUUCAAACGCUCUUGUUCGACGGGAUCCUCGGGCACGACGAAUUCGUCGUCGUCGAGGCUUGCCUCGUCUCCGGAGGGAGGUAUGUAAUUAUCAUCCUCGACCUCUUCAUCUGCAGCUCUCUCGUGAGGGCUUGCUUCUGCCUCCUCCUACACUGAAUCUUGCUGCAGGGGAUUUUCUUCGGCACUUUCUGGGGUGUUAUUAUCUCCUGUGCUGGAAUCUCCAUUCUUGCUGUGCCGGGAUUUAGAGCGGCGCCGCUGACGUCGGCGCUUGGGCUGUUUCUUUAAGGAAUCUGCCUCCGCUGCUUCUUCGCCGUCCCCAUCUUUUGGGGUGUCCACCAUGUAUAUGUCAUAUGACGAGGUGGUCUUCUAGUGCCCUGUAGGCGCUGGUUCUUGUUCGUCUCCGGCAUCGUCGUCCAUACCGUCGAUGUCUUCGGAGUCGUAGUCUAGCAUGUCGGUUAGAUCGUCGACAUUGGCUAUAAAGUGGGUGGUGGGUGGGCUUUGAAUUUCUUCGUCGUCUGCAUCCCAGCCAUCCUGGCCAUAAUCCGGCCAGGGCUCUUCGGAUAGCGAGAGAUGCUUUAGCGAAUUUAAGAUGUCGCCAAAGGGCGAGUGCUAAAAGAUGUCCGCAGCGGUGAACUCCAUGAUCGGCGCCCAAUCGGAUUCGAUUGGCAGGGGCGUAGGAGGUUCGGAGUCCGGCAGGGAGUCCGGCACCUCGGAGUCACGAGUUUUAUAGGGGACAAGGUCAGUGUUAAGCUCCAUCGCCGCGGAUGUUGCAGCUCCCGAGGUGGUGUCCAGCCACUCGUCCUCGAUCUGCGCGGUCGGCUCCGAACUAUGGGUCGGAGCGGAUUCGUGUGCGGCCUCCAAGGUACUGUUCGGCGGCAGAGCUAGAUCGUGCCCAUCGCGACAGUGCGGCACGCUCGGCUGCGGAUCGGAUCCAUCGAAGAUCAGGUCUCCGCGGAUGUCCGCCGUGAAGUUUAGGCUUCCAAAUCUGACCUGACGGCCAGGGGCGUAGCUUUCGAUCUGCUCCAGAUGGCCAAGUGAAUUAGCCCGCAGUGCGAAGCCGCCGAAUACGAAGAUCUGUGCGGGGAGAAAAGUCUCACCCUGGACGUCGUUGUUGUUGAUUGCGGAAGCCAUCAAGCCCAUCGGUGACGACACAGAGGAACUCUUAAUGAAAGCACCAAUGUCGUUGUCAAAACCGGCGGAUCCCGGGUAGGGGGUCCCGAACUAUGCGUCUAGGCGGAUGGUAACAGGAGACAAGGGACACAAUGUUUUUACCCAGGUUCGGGCCCUCUCGAUGGAGGUAAAACCCUACUCCUGCUUGAUUGAUAUUGAUGAUAUGGGUAGUACAAGAGUGGAUCUACCACGAGACCAAGGAGGCUAAACCCUAGAAUCUAGCCUAUGGUAUGAUUGUUGUAAUGGUUGUUGUCCUACGGACUAAAGCCCUCCGAUUUAUAUAGACACCGGAGAGGGCUAGGGUUACACAGAGUCGGUUACAAUGGUAGGAGAUCUACAUAUCCGUAUCGCCAAGCUUGCCUUCCACGCCAAGGAAAGUCCCAUCCGGACACGGGACGGAGUCUUCAAUCUUGUAUCUUCGUAGUCUUGGAGUCCGGCGGACGAUGAUAGUCCGCUGUCUGGACACCCCCUAGUCCAGGACUCCCUCACCCCCCAAGGCAACUGGAGGCGCCCCCUCCCCUAGGGUUCCCAACCCUAGGCGCAGGGGGGGCCCAAGGGGGGGGGGCGCACCAGCCCACCAGGGGCUGGUUCCCCUCCCACUUCAGCCCAUGGGCCCCUCCGGGAUAGGUGGCUCCACCCGGUGGACCCCCGCGACCUUUCCGGUGGUCCCGGUACAAUACCGGUGACCCCCGAAACUUUCCCGAUGGCUGAAACAGCACUUCCUAUAUAUAAUUCUUCACCUAAGGACCUUUCCGAAACUCCUCGUGACGUCCAGGAUCUCAUCCGGGACUCCGAACAACUUUCGGCUUACUGCAUAUUCAUAUCUCUACAACCCUAGCGUCAUCGAACCUUAAGUGUGUAGACCCUACGGGUUCGGGAGACAUGCAGACAUGACCGAGACGCCUCUCCGGUCAAUAACCAACAGCGGGAUCUGGAUACCCAUGUUGGCUCCCACAUGCUCCUCGAUGAUCUCAUCGGAUGAACCACGAUGUCGAGGAUUCAAUCAAUCCCGUAUACAAUUCCCUUUGUCAAUCGGUACGUUACUUGCCCCAGACUCGAUCAUCGGUAUCCCAGUACCUCGUUCAGUCUCGUUCCCGGAAAGUCACUUUACUCGUACCGUAAUGCAUGAUCCCGUGACCAUACACUUGGUCACAUUGAUAUGAUGAUGCAUUACCGAGUGGGCCCAGAGAUACCUCUUCGUCAUAUGGAGUGACAAAUCCCAGUCUCGAUUCGUGCCAACCCAACAGACACUUUCGGAGAUACCCGUAGUGCACCUUUAUAGCCACCCAAUUACGUUGUGACGUUUGGCACACCCAAAGCACUCCUACGGUAUCCGGGAGUUUCACAAUCGCAUGGUCUAAGGAAAUGAUACUUGACACUUGGAAAAGCUCUAGCUAAACGAACUACACGAUCUUUGAGCUAUGCUUAGGAUUGGGUCUUGUUGAUCACAUCAUUCUCCUAAUGAUGUGAUCCCGUUAUCAACGACAUCCAAUGCCCAUAGUCAGGAAACCAUGACUAUCUGUUGAUCAACGAGCUAGUCAACUAGAGGCUUACUAGGGACAUGUUGUGGUCUAUGUAUUCACACGUGUAAUACGAUUUCCGGAUAAUACAGUUAUAUCAUGAAUAAUAGACAGUUAUCAUGAACAAAGAAAUAUAAUAAUAACCAUUUAUUAUUGCCUCUAGGACAUAUUUUCAACACCGAGAUCAUUAAUACACCACAAGCAGCAACGAAUGAAUGGGAAGGAAGUGGCGGAGUGUCAUUAUGACUACAUGCAUGUAAGUAUUAAAAAGUUGCUAGUAAGAGGAAACAUCAUUAAUUUUUGCCUCGAUUACUAUUGGUGGCUUGUAUUGAUGUAAAAUGUAUUUUUGAUAGUGGCCUUGUAUAAGGGAAUGGAGGGAGUACUUACAAAUAUUCUUUGGCCCCCCUUGUGUCGAAUCAACAAAUUUGGGUGAAAUACUACCCUCGAAGACUGUCGCGGUCCCCUAUACUUGUAGGUUACCGAAUAAUAAUUUAACAUUAUCUUUUCAUUAGUUGAACCACUCAACUUCCAUUUGAUACAAGUGGCAUGAUAUUUGGACAGGAGAGUUAUCUGUUAACUUUGUACCAUUUCUAUUUGUAAGCUAAUAAUUAUGCACCAUGCAUUUGUCGUCAUUUUCCAAGUUCUCCAUAAUUUUUGAAAAACUGUCUUGUGAAAUAUUGUCUCUGCGAAAAAGGGUUAUUGCAUAUUUUUUUUAAUUUUUUCUAAAAUAGAGGGUUCCCAGUAAAAAAGGGUAGGAGUACUCACUAGCUGAAGUAAUAGCAUAGAACUACCAAUUAGCAUUGUUUUACAUUUAGUAGGAUUAUCGUUGAGGUAAUACAGGAGACUAGGAAGUGACUUCUCCAAUGAAUUCGGAUAAUUAUCGAUAUUUCCCAAAUUUUAGCUUUAUUUGAUUAUAAAGUAGGAUUGCUGACUUGCAAUAUGAAUAUUUGUUUUUAACAUGUUAGGAGGAUAAUGCACUGAUUCAAGUUCUUGAGUCAGGAUAAGAAUAUAUUUUUUAUUAUGUCAACAUGGAUGGUGUCAUUAGAUGUCUACAUGAACGAUAUGUUUUAGAGCAUCCAACCUAUGGCAAUAUCUUUGUAAGCAUGUAUUUUAUGGUGGAUUUUACAUGACUAAUUUUUUUACUCCCCAAUAAAUUGUCUUGGCCAUUUGGUCUUUGGAUUGUCUAUGAAUGUGUCUUGAUUAGACAUUGUGUCAAAGGAAUUUUGUUGCGAUCAAAUUUUACAUUGUGUAAGCCUUAACACUAGGCCUAGACAAAAGAGAGAGAAAUAUGUACAUCAGUUGUUUGCUUCUUGAUAUCAAAUAAUAGCCGAAGGGUCUAGCUUUCUAUUCUUUGGGCUUGAUCCAUCUAGAAAGAGUGAAUUUUAAGAUGACUGCAAGCAAGGUUACUGGUUGACUGUUUGUAUCAUUAUUUUGUUUUAUUCGUCUUUUAAUCGAGCAUCUUUUGACCUUCUAAUCAAAUACAUUUAAUUAUCAUACAUUUAAAAAAUAUAUUUUGUGUUUGCUUAUGUAUGUUAUAUGGAAUAAUUGGGCCAAAUAUCGUCCCACAUUUUUGCAUGUCUUAACAGAGAGUUUGCCUAGACGGGGUUUUUUAAAUUUAUCCAAGGAUAAUAUUUAUACUAAACUUUUGUAGUUAUUUAGAUUUGUUUUAUCUACUGAUGGCCCCAAGUAUUAAGUUAAUGUAUUAUUUUGUUUAGCGUAAUUAUACUUACAAUGUUGAUACACAUAUGUGUUUUUGUUAGAGAGCCCAAACAUCGUCAUUGAAAAAAUACAUAUUUGUUAAAAUUGAAGCAUAUGAUGUAAUUACAUUCAUUCUUUACGAGCCCCCCACCCCCCACCAAAUAUGUUGGUAGAUAAGAUUUUUUAAGUUUAAGGAAAAACAUAUUAUUUCACAUUCAAGAAAGUAUAAAGGAUAAAAUUGCAUGUCUGAAUUAAUGAUAUUGUAUAUUGUUUAUGUAUGUGUGUAUACUUUAUAUUCAUAUGGCUCUUAGAAAGAUCAUGAAUGCAUAAAAUCUGACAAAUUUCUUUACUAAGGUUUUCAGUGUAUGAUUAGGUAUUAACAAAAUAAAAUAUUCUGGACUAUGUAUAUAAUGUUGAGAAAAAAUUGCAAUAGUUACUCCAUUGUAUCUUUACUCAUUUUACCGUAGAUCUAUGUGUUCUUGUAUUUUCUAAUGGAUUCAAUUGUCUCAUCUAUAAUAGUUCGGCUUAGUAUAUGUCACUAGCAAAAAAAGGCUUAGCAAAGGUCCAUCAAAGUUGCUCCAAUGUCUAACUACUUAUGGUACAUAAUCUUCAAAGCCUAACUCCUAACUGUUUUUCCUUUUAGAGAAUUGGAGCAACACCUUUUUAUUUGGUCCUAAGAAUGUCGAAAUUAGGUGGUGAUCUACGGUUACAAUCAUCAUAGUUUCAUCGUGUAUCAAAACCAAGUACACAACGAAAACAUUGGUUAUAUAUAGAUACAUACAAAGGUUAUCACCACAUAUAUGUAACAUUCUCUUAUUCAAUGCUCGGACUUGCACUUCGAGGCGAAAACCAUGAUCCAUACUUGGAUCAGGUAGCGGCAAUGUUCAUGUGUCGUACCCUUUCAAGUGGCUUCGCUUUUGGAGAACAUAUGCGCAAUCCAGGUGUUGCAAAUAGUGUUGAUUGAUGUGGAUGGUUAGUUUUUUCCGUCUUUGAUCGCUUAGGCAUGCCCCUUUUUGGCUCAUGUAUUGUUCUUCAUCUUUUUCUCCAAUAAUUUGGAUAUGCAACCUUAAAUGUCUUGUGUAGCUCCAGACAUUGUGUUGUUGUAAUGGAUAGAUGCAUUUUGAUGCAAAUUUGAUAUUAUAAUAUCGACCUUAUCAGUAAUAUGACAAAUGUUAACUGUACUAGAAGCAUUCACGCGCUUUGUUGCAGCGUUGAACUACUACGAUGAUAAAUCAAACUUACGCUCUCUUCGUUGCUCCAUUUUUUCAGCAAAUAAACUUCCGCUUAUUUUGACCAUGGUUCGAGUAAAGAGUGGAAAGCACGUUGAGAAUACCUUUUUUUGAAAGAGAUUCUUUUUAUAUUCACCAUAAAGAAUAGUAGAUGUGAGCUAAGAAAAAUAAAAGAUUCUCGCUACAAGAGAUAGAAACAGAAUGACACGAACAAAGUGGUAAAUCAUAAUAAACACUUCUCCAUUUAAAUGUUUUUGUAAAAUCUUCCUUUGAAAAGCAUCAUUGACAAAUCCAAAUAAAAUUCCGCCCAACCAAAAUAUUAGAUUAACUAAGUGUCCAUAGGUGAAAGCGUAAAAUGGAGGUAAGCACAAGUUUUACUUUAAUAUGUUGGAUUUACCUGAAUAUAUCUAUAUAUGUAUAUAUAGACAUAGAUAAAUUAUUUGGGGCACAAAUGUGCCUGGGCACCUACAUGGUUUUACAUUAAUGCCACGUGGAUCCUAACCCAUUAGAUUAUGCUUGCAAUUCCAUAUGUGAUAUUCAGUUUCUAUUUCAAAAUUAGCAUGUAUGCAUUUGUUCCCGAACAAUGCAUGCAUGCACAACUUUCUUUGCAUGCAUGAUUGUCAUUUGAUUAUUUCCAAAAUAACCUUAACAGGGACGACUUGCCGAGGACAUGAUACCUAGAAAUGAUAUACCCAAGAGUUAUAUGUCCAAAGAUGAUAUACCCUAAAAUUAUAAUUAAAGUUCAAUAUACUCGAAUGUAUUCUUCCAAGGUUGUGAGUAUGGACUAUAUCCCGGAAUGUACCCAAGGUGUGAUAUAGAGAAAUGAUAUACGCAAGGUACUAUACAAAGAAAUGAUAUACCCAAAAAAUAUAUGUCCCAAAAAUGAUAUGCCCCAAUAUUAUAAUUAAAGUUCAAUAUACUCAAAAUUAAUAUACUCAAAUGUAUACUUCCAAGGUUGGGAGUAUCAAAAUUAUAUAACCAAAAGGAAUAUACUUAAAUGUGACAUAUCCAAAACAUUUCCUAAACAUAAAUUAAAGCUAAUGUUUCCUCGUAGUUCAGUAUAUACUUAUGUCAUGGUGAGCUGAAAUGAUAUUUUCCUACGAGGAAAUAUAAAUGCGCAUUUACACAAUCGCUCUAUUAGAUCAUCUUAGUACAUUAGAGUAUAUACAUUGCGUCUCGUUGGUAGGUAUUUGAUACCUCGGGCAUGUCUAUAUGAUUUGGAGUACUUACACAAUUUUAUUGAUUGAAAUAAUUGUUUUUGGAUAUCUUGGAUAUAGACAUUCCUGGGAAUAUCUUUGGUACUAAAAAAAUUCACAUAGUCGCACAUGCUGUAUGUGUAGGUAUAUACAUACAAAAUUUGUGUCCAUGCUCAUGAUAUUUCGUGGUAUCUGCAUAUCAUGAUAUUUCUGGGUAUAUACAUUGCGUCUCAUGAGUAGGUAUUUGCUACCUCGGGCAUGUCUAUGAUAUGCAGCACGUACACAAUUUAUUGAUUGAAAUAAUUUUCUCAUUGUGAUACCUUGGGUAUAGGCAUACCGAGAAUGUCUUGGGUAUUAAAACAAUUCACAUACUCCCAAAUACUCCCUCUAUAAACUAAUAUAAGAGCAUUUAUAUCACUAAAAUAGUGAUCUAAACGCUCUUAUAUUAGUUUACGGAGGGAGUAUUAUAUAUUUUUAGGUAUAUACAUACCUGAUUUGCGUUGUACUCAUGAUAUUUCAAGGUAUCUGUAUACUGAUGAUAUUUCUGGGUAUACACAUUGCAUCCUAUUAGUAGGUAUUUGAUACCUCUGGCAUGUCUCUUUGAUUUGGAGUACGUACACGGUUUAUUGAUCGAAAUAAUAGAUUUUUUGUGAUGAAUACCUCAUGAAUGCAUCAAUGUUUGUAUGUACAUGUAUUUUUCUAUAUGUUGAAUCUCCGUCGGCCGAGCAACCGCAUUGUGCAGACAUGUAUUUAUACUUCAAUCUAAAGAGAAUGCAUUUAAAGAUAUUGACUACAGAAUAAAUAUAUGAGGCAAGCAAUAGUUUGAGAAAUUCAAGGGUGGAAAGUCCUGCAUGCAAAAUAGUUAAGAAACAGUGAAACAUAACCACAAAAAAUUUGCAUGCAGAAUUGUUAGGAAUGGACUGCGAUGUGUGUUGGUGUUAGUUACCCUAUCCUUUCCCGGGACAACGAGUCAAGCCACCAGCACCACCGAAAGAGGGCGUGGCUGGCUCAUGGAAUUGGCUAGUCCUAGCUACUGUUUUUGCUUUCCUUGUGAAUGAAGUGGUCAAUCCUACUACUAUUAUCUAUCUAGCUAUAACUUGGUACUUGGCAGGAUGUGAGAUUGAUCCAUGGUACUAUUCACUUAUGUCAUCAAGAUAUUAUCGAGCAUAGCCAAAACCAAGGGCCUUCUCGCUGCUCCUCACGAUCAUUUAAUUGCCAAACAAAUGCAUUUGUUCCUAUCACAUCGACUUUCAGCCUAAUAUCUUUUUUUAAACCCACAAGUUUUGGGAAUGCUAUAUGCAAAUGCUACCUAUGGCACCGCCUGUCAAACGACGCCUGAAUGAAUUAUAUAUGCUCAACACAAAGGUAGUAUGUUUGCAGAAAAAAAAAA